GUUUUUUUUUUGUAGUGGGAAAAAUUCCUAAGCAACCGAAUAUGGACGUAUGUAAUAAUAGUUAUCAUAGAUCGCAGAGGGCGGAAUGCAUAAUUGCUAUGAAACAUUUUUUUAAGCUUGGCAUUGGUGAAUAAGAUGCAAUGAAAAUGUACAAGAAUAAGUACAAAUUCACCUCGGAGGUGGUAGCAUAUGGCUGCAUCUACCAACUUGCACACAAAACAUCUAUGGUCUAUGAACACCUGACUGAUGCUUUAGAUGAAUUUAUUGGCAGUGUGGUUUUUGGUUAGCCACUGAUGUUCUAGUUCAUGUCUCGAGUUUGUGAAGAUGAGCGGAAGAGCCAGAUAUGGGUCACAGAGGAUGGCACUAUGGAUAAAUAUAACGACUCAUUUGAGGAUGUCCUCCUACUCCAAAACAAUCCACAGUUAAUGGACAAAAACUUCAACAUCCUCCGGGAGAGAAUCGGCACAAACACAUUACAAAUAGAGAUGCUAGCAUACAAAUACACCAACUGAAAGAACAUGCGGUGCCCCAUGUUUGGUUUUGGUAAUUGAUAACAAUCUCUAUGGACUAAUGGUUGCCUUGAGUUAUAUUUGAAGGUUUUGUCCAUAGGCUUUUCUUGGAGUACAUGUGUUUGUUUCAAGGAGAGUUUGUGUCUAUCAAGGUGUUAUUCAAGGAAUUAUCCAAAGAUUAGUCAUGUGAGAGUUGAGCUUAUUGCAAGCAUGUCUUGAAGAAGAAGAUUGUGUGAUCAUUCAUGUCUACCUUUGUAACGCCCGGAUAAUUAAGCUACAGUAAUUUUCUGCUGAUGAUGCCACGUCAUCACUGUUACUGUUGUUAAACUCGCGUUGGUUCGUAUCCGGUCCAAAUUUAAAUUUAAAAUAAAGUCAAAAAUAAAAGUUUUUUUUUAAUGUCAAAACCAAAAUGUGCAGGCUGUGGAAAAUAAUUCAUAAAUAUUAUUGGAGAAGAAACCAAAUUCUUAUAAGAUGUUUAGGUGCUCAAAAAUAAAUAAAACAGUGGCUUAAACAAUUAUUCAAAUGCCUUUUGUAAUUUCUAAAAUGUUAAGCUAUUUUAUUUUUGGGUGAAACUUUUUGUGGCAUUGGUAUAAUUAGGAAUAAUAUUUUAGGAACAAAUUCUAUAUUUUAUAGAACUCUAAUAAAUUAAAAGUUGAGUGAAAACAGAGCAGAAAAUAAACAAUAGAAAAAUAAAACCCAAACAACAAAACAAAACAAAUCCCCUCCCCAUCUCCCCUGUUCACGCGAUCGUGGACACCGGCGAUGGCCGCCACGGCAGAGGGCGUCGCCGUGGCGCCCAUCCGCCACCCCUCCGGCGCCUACUUAACCGGUGUCCCCCCUCUCCACGCGAACCCUAAUCCCCACUUCCCCCCUUGCGCCCCCAACCCCUCGAGCCCGCCCCGUGGAUGCCCGGAGCCGCGUCGCCAUUGGUCCUCGCCUUCCCGUCGCCUCGUCGACACGUCUUCCUCCGCCACGGACACCGCACACUCAUCGUCGAUUCGUUUCACCACGAGUCCCUCCAGCAUCACCGAGCAGCUCCUAGUCAACAAUGUGAGCAGGCGCCCGAACCCCUUCUGUUUCACCAUCUAAUCCGUGCCCAUUGCCUAGCUAGACGUCGCGUCCGAAGCUCACCAUCGCAGUUCAUGUCGCCACCGCGGCCACUGCUCGCGAAGCUCACGACGAGCUCCGCUUCGUGUUCCUGGAGUUCUCAGGAACCCGUAGCACCCAACCCCGUCGCUUCCCGUGUCCUACAUCGCCUCCUUGAGUUCUCCAUGGCGCCAUCGAAGCAUCGCGUCCGCGCUCCUGCGCGCUCGUGUAACCGCCGCGGCCUGUCCGUGCCCACCUGCGCUGCUGCCGCUAGUUGCUUCUGCUGCUGAUGGCUGCUGCUCUCGCCGCCGUUCUCUGCCACUUGUGUUCGCCUGCAACUUUGCUGCUGUCGCCGGCGCUCCCUGCGUGCGCCCGCCGGAGCACCCCGGCCGCGCCCGCGCAUACGCGCGCCCGUCCGCCUCGUGCACGGCUUUGCCUCCCCUGCUGCAGCGCCCCAGCCCGCUUGCUCCCACCGCUACUUGCUGUAUUGAUGCUUGUACUGUAGUCUGUAGGUGCUGCUAGCUAGCUUUGCAAAUCCUACACUAACUAACCCUUUGGACAGCCUCUAAACAUACACUAAACAAUUGUUAACAGGUCUAAGAAGAAUAUGAGUAGAAAGUAUACUUGACAAACUUCAUUUUAUCCCACUGGACCAAAUCCUUUCGAUGCAUCGAUUAAAUCCUAUAAAAAUCACAAAAUGCCAUCUUCUCUUACACCUAGCAUUGUGUGUGUAUACAGCCACCACUGCCCGGGCCGUACAAAUUAGUUUAGGGGAUAAUUUCUAGUUAGUUUAAUUGCUAGCCAAUGAUAAGAGGGGCCCAUGUUUAGAUUAGAUAAAUCUACUUAGGAAUUUAAUAAAACUAAUUAACUUUUAGUUAAUUUCGCUGACAUGUGGCCCUGCUGUAAAUUAAAAUGAUAGAUUAAACUAAAAGUGCCUAAGUCUAUGACAGCCGGGACCCACCUUUACUAUUCACUGCUGACUGGACCCUCCCUGACCCACUGUCAGCCUCUGUGUACACAAAGCUGGCUACACAUAGCAAUUUGUUAUUUAAUUUUGAAUUAAAAUAAUUUCAAAAUAUUGUUUAAAUCUUUGAAAAAUCAUAGAAAAUAAUCCGUAACUCGGAUGAAAAAGUUUUAUACAUGAAAGUUGCUCAGAACAACGAGACGAAUCCGGAUACGCAGCCCGUUCGUCCGCCACGCAUCCCGAGCAUAGUGAACAUACAAAUUUUCCCCUCCGAUUCAUCUGUCCGAAAACGCGAAACACCGAGGAUAUUUUCCCGGAUGUUUCCCCCCUUCACCGGUAUCACCUCAUACCGUGUUAGGGCACCCCUAGCACCGUUACUUGACAUGUCAUGCAUCGUCAUGCAUCUGUUUGCUUAAUAUUUAUUGUUUCUUUCCCCUCUUCUCUCGCUAGACACCGAGACCGACGCCGCUGCUACCCAGUACGACUACGGUGUUGACGAUCCCUUUCUCUUGCCAGAGCAACCAGGCAAGACCCCCCUCUUGAUCACCAGAUAUUGCUUACUCUUCUCUAUACUGCUUGCAUUAGAGUAGUGUAGCAUGUUACUGCUUUCCGUUAAUCCUAUCCUGAUGCAUAGCCUGUCAUUGUUGCUACAAUUGUUGAUACCUUACCUGCAAUCCUGCAUGCUUAGUAUAGGUUGCUAGUAGUUCAUCAGUGGCCCUACAUUCUUGUCCGUCUUCCAUGCUAUACUUUCGGGCCGUGAUCACUCGGGAAGUGAUCAUGGGUAUAUACAUACAUAUAUACAUACUAUCAAGCGGUGACUAAAGUCGGGUCGGCUCGUUGAGUACCCGCAAGUGAUUCCGAUGUUGGGGGCUGAAGGGGCAGGUGGUUCCACCCAGGUAGUGGUGGGCUUGGGUUCCCGACGGCCCCCGACUAUUACCUUGAGGCGGAGCGACAUGGCAGGUUGAGACCACCUAGGAGAGAGGUGGGCCUGACCCUGGUCGGCUUCCGUGGAUAUGUCAGCAUAACAUGCUUAACGAGAUCUUGGUAUUUGAUCUGAGUCUGGCCGCUGGCCUAUACGCACUAACCAACUACGCGGGAACAGUUAUGGGCACUCGACGUCGUGGUAUCAGCCGAAGCCUUCCUGACGUCAGCGACUGAGCGGUGCGCGUCGGGUUGGACUGGAACGCCUGCUCUUGUAUAAGGGAGGCUAGGUCUGCUCGCCGGCCGCGUUCGCAACGUGCAGGUGUGCAAUGGGCGAUGGGCCCAGACCCCUGCGCCAUAGGAUUUACACCGGCAUGCUGACCUCUUUGUUGUGCCUAGGUAGGGUUGCGACGUGUUGAUCUUCCGAGGCCGGGCAUGACCCAGAAAAGUGUGUCCGGACAAAGGGGAUCAAGCGUGUUGGGAAAUGUGGUGCACCCCUGCAGGGAAGUUAAUCUAUUUGAAUAGCCGUGAUCUUCGGUAACAGGACGACUUAGAGUUGUACCUUGACCUUUUGCCAACUAGAACCGGUUACUUAAUAAAACACACCCUUCCAAGUGCUAGAUACAACCCGGUGAUCGCUCUCUAACAGGGCGAUGAGGAGAGGAUCGCCGGGUAGGAUUAUGCUACACGAUGCUACUUGGUGAACUUACCAUCUACUCUCUUCUACAUGCUGCAAGAUGGAGGUUGCCAGAAGCGUAGUCUUCGAUAGGACUAGCUAUCCCCCUCUUAUUCCGGCAUUCUGCAGUUUAGUCCACAUAUGAUACCCCUUUUCCAUUUGAUACCAAUGCAUACAUAUGUAGUGUAGCUCCUUGCUUGUGAGUACUUUGGUGAGUACUCACGGUUGCUUUGUUUCCCCUUUUCCCCCUUCCUAUACCCGAUUGCUGCGACCAGACGAUGGAGUCCAGGAGCUAGAAGCCACCGUUGACGAUGACUCCUACUACACAGGAGGUGCCUACUACUACGUGCGGCCCGCUGACGACGACCAGGAGUAGUUUAGGAGGAUCCCAGGCAGGAGGCCUGCGCCUCUUUCGGUCUAUAUCCCAGUUUGUGCUAGCCUUCUUAAGGCAAACUUGUUUACUUACGUUUGUACUCAGAUAUUAUUGCUUCCGCUGACUCGUCUAUGAUCGAGCUCUUGUAUUCGAGCCCUCGAGGCCCCUGGCUUGUAAUAUGAUGCUUGUAUGACUUAUUUUAUUUGUAGAGUUGUGUUGUGAUAUCUUCCCGUGAGUCCCUGAUCUUGAUCGUACACGUUUGCGUGUAUGAUUAGUGUACGAUUGAAUCGGGGGCGUCACAACCUUCAAGACAUCAUCCAAAUGAAGAGAAUUGGAAAGGUUUAAGGUUGAUCAAGACUAAGUCAAGAGUGAAUCAAGUUGAUCAACUCACAAAGCGCAGAAGAUGUACCGAAAGGGAUCAAGUGGUCCCAUGGUAUGGUAAGCAUUGUCAAUUACGCUUUGUAUACUAACCCAUGGUCUUCGUGAGAGUUCUGUGUGGGGUUAGGUUGCCGUGUGCAAGUUCAAGUGAUGCAUCACAAAGAGAUCAAGUGCUUGAAGCUUGCCUUCCAUUGUGGUGACAAUGGACUUGUGAAGAUGUGCGUAAGAGUUUCUCACCCAUAGUGGAGUAUGGGGGAGCAAUCUACUAGUCUUCACCAAGCCACCGCAAUCAAGAAAGGUGGUCCAACUUGAGAAAGUCAAGAUCAUCAUCAUGUAGCUCAAGUGGACUAUGUGCAAGACAAAGGUUUGCCCUUGAUAGGUUUUCUAUUUUACCGGUCUCAUAGUGGUAGUCGGGAGACCGGGUUAUAGGAUUGAUUGCCGUACUAUCAAGAGGGGCUCUCGAUGAGUAGCUUGAUCGUAUCGUUCGUAGAGAGUUCAAACCAUUGCAUCCUUGCAUCAUCUUUAUUGGUUCUUGUUUGGUUCUUCUCUUUGUGAGUUUUGGAGCUUAUGGUCAUCUUGAUGACAAGCUCGAGUUCAUCAAAAACGGAGUUCACAUGCAUCUUCUAUGAUGUUUUCGAUGUUGGAGGUUUUGCCGGUUCUUCUCGGUUGGAGGUUUGAUACGUCUCCAACGUAUCUAUAAUUUUUGAUUGCUCCAUGCUAUAUUAUCUACUGUUUUGGACUAUAUUGAGCUUUAUUUUCCACUUUUAUAUUAUUUUUGGGACUAACCUAUUAACCGGAGGCCCAGCCCAGAAUUGUUGUUUUUUGUCUAUUUCAGUGUUUCGAAGAAACGGAAUAUCAGACGGAGUCCAAACGGAAUAAACCUUUCUGGAACGUGAUUUUCUUCCCGAAUAUGACCCAGGAGACUUGGACCCUACGCCAAGGAAGCUUCGAGGUGGGCACGAGGUAGGGGGCGUGCCGUAUACCCCAAGGCGCGCCCCCCACCCUCGUGGGCCCACCGAAACUCCACCGACGUACUUCUUCCUCCUAUAUAUACCUACGUACCCCCAAACGAACAAAGACGGAGCCAAAAACCUAAUUCCACCGCCGCAACUUUCUGUAUCCACGAGAUCCCAUCUUGGGGCCUGUUCCGGAGCUCCACCGGAGAGGGCCGUCAUCACGAAGGGCUUCUACAUCAUCAUAGCCUCUCCGAUGAAGUGUGAGUAGUUUACCUCAGACCUUAGGGUCCAUAGUUAUUAGCUAGAUGGCUUCUUUUCUCUUUUUGGAUCUCAAUACAAAGUUCUCCCCUCUCUCGUGGAGAUCUAUUCGAUGUAAUCUUCUUCUUUUUGCGGUAUGUUUGUUGAGACCGAUGAAUUGUGGGUUUAUGAUCAAGUCUAUCUAUGAAUAAUAUUUGAAUCUUCUCUGAAUUCUUUUAUGUAUGAUUGGUUAUCUUUGCAAGUCUCUUCGAAUUAUCCGUUUGGUUUGGCCAACUAGAUUGGUAGUUCUUGCCAUGGGAGAAGUGCUUAGCUUUGGGUUCGAUCUUGCGGUGUCCUUUCCCGGUAACAGAAGGGGCAGCAAGGCACGUAUUGCAUCGUUGCCAUCGAGGAUAACAAGAUGGGGUUUAUUUCAUAUUGCAUGAAUUUAUCUCUCUACAUCAUGUCAUCUUGCUUAACGCGUUACUCUGUUUUUAACUUAAUACUCUAGAUGCAUGCUGGAUAGCGGUCGAUGAGUGGAGUAAUAGUAGUAGAUGCAGAAUCGUUUCGGUCUACUUGUCACGGACGUGAUGCCUAUAUACAUGAUCAUGCCUAGAUAUUUUCAUAACUAUGCUCAAUUCUGUCAAUUGCUCAACAGUAAUUUGUUCACCCACCGUAGAAUACUUAUGCUCUUGAGAGAAGCCACUAGUGAAACCUAUGGCCCCCGGGUCUAUUCUCAUCAUAUCAAACUCCAUCACUUUAAUCUUGCUUUGCUUUUUACUUUGCCUUUUUAUUUUCACUUUGCAUCUCUAUACCAAAAAUACCAAAAAUAUUAUAUCUAUCAGAUCUCACUCUCGUAAGUGACCGUGAAGGGAUUGACAACCCCUAAUCGCGUUGGUUGCGAGUAGCUAUCGUUUUGUGCAGGUACGAGGGACUUGAGCGUGGGCUCCUACUGGAUUGAUACCUUGGUUCUCAAAAACUGAGGGAAAUACUUACACUACUCUGCUGCAUCAUCCUUUCCUCUUCGGGGAAAUCCAACGCAAGCUCAAGAGGUAGCAAGGUUUUGAUGCUACUCGUCAUCUUGUUUCCAACAAACUUGAGUUUGCUCAAUUCGGAGCUCAUAUGCAGAAGUUAUGGCAGUUCUGGUUUUCCAUAGAGUAUACUUGCUUUUGUGGAAGUGGCAUAAGGAUGGCGCCAGCGGUAGUACCGCUGGGCCGGAGCGGCAGUACCGCUUAUCGCCACAAACGGUAGUACCGCUGUCCCACAGCAGUAGUACCGCCCAUGGCCAUAAGCGGUAUUACGGCUCCGGUUUCGCGUUGGUACCGCCUCAACUCAAGACGUGGUUUUCUCGUGUCGGGUUCAGCGGCAGUAGGAGCGGUAGUACCGCUCAUGUGCGGUAGUACCGCGGCUACCACCGCCCCUAGUACCGCUCAAUGGCCCUCCUCCCUGUUCCUUCUCCAUGUGCUCGUGGUAGGCGCUAUGCGUGGUCCCAGCGGUAGUACCGCUGACUCCAGCGGUAGUGUCGCUCAUACGGCUCUGCCUCGCACUCUGUUUCGGUCCGCUCAUACGGCUCAUACGGCUCUGCCUCGUGCGCGGACUGAGCACAUAACGAUUGGAUUCGGGAGCUCCUAUAAAAGGGAGUCUUCUUCCCCAUUCAACCUUAUCCUUUGAGCUCAUGUUCUUCCCCCAUUGUUGACCUUCUUCGAGCUUGCUAACUCUCAAUCCCUCCAUGGAUUAUUGCUAGUUUUUGAGGGAAAAGAGAGAGGAGAUCUAGAUCCACAUUUCCACCAAUCACUUUCUCCUCUUUGUGAGGGGAACCCCUUAGAUCUAGAUCUUGGAGUUCUUGGUGCUCUCCUUCUUGUUAUUCCUCUCAUUUUCUUCCCUAGCAUUAGUUGCUUUGGUGGGAUUUGAGAGAGAAGGACUUGGGCACUCCGUGUGCCCUUUCCAUUACAUUUGGUGCAUCGGUUUGAGUUCUCCAUGGUGAUACGUGGAAGUUACAAGUUGAGAAGCUUAUUACUCUUGGGUGCUUGGUACCAUUGAGCUUGUUCCUCUUGGGUGCUUGGGCACCCUAGACGGUUGGUGGUGUUCGGAGCUCAAUCAUUGUGGUGUAAAGCUCUGGGCAAGCGUCGGGGUCUCCAAUUAGGUUCUGGAGAUCGCCCCGAGCAAUUUGACGGGUACCGGUGACCGCCCCCAAGGGUUGCCAAAGUGUACGGGUUCGGUGACCGCCCCCAAGGGUUGCCAUUUGUACGGGUUCGGUGACCGCCCUCAAGGUUCCCUUAGUGGAAUCACGGCAUCUUGCAUUGUGCGAGGGCGUGAGGAGAUUACGGUGGCCCUAGUGGCUUCUUGGGGAGUAUUGUGCCUCCACACCGCUUCAAACGGAGAUUAGCAUCCGCAAGGGUGUGAACUUCGGGAUACAUCAUCGUCUCCGCGUGUCUCGGUUAUCUCUUACCCGAGCCCUUUACUUAUGCACUUUACUUUGUGAUAGCCAUAUUGUUCUUUGUCAUAUAUCUUGCUAUCACAUAGUUGCUUAUCUUGUUUAGCAUAAGUUGUUGGUGCACAUAGGUGAGCCUAGUUGUUUCAGGUUUUGUGCUUGGCAAAUUAACCGCUAGGUUUAUUCCGCAUUUGUUCAAGUCUAAACCGUAAUUAUUUUGAAGCGUCUAUUCACCCCUCCACCCCUCUAGGCGACAUCCACGAUCUUUCACCAACUCUGAAACAAUCCACAAUUAGCGGACAAAAGUCUCAACAUCCUCCAGGGGAGAGUCGGCAAAACACAUUACAAAUAGAGAUGCCAGCAUACAAAUAGACCAAUUUAAGGGCUCCUUUAAUUCAAAGAAAUUGCAUACAACUUCUGUAGGAUUGGAUCCUACUAGAAUUUUUCUUAUCUUUGUACUACUUCCUAUAGGAAAUCUAGCAAUCACUACAAUCUCCGUUUAGAAUUUCUUUGAUGGAAUCUAAAGAAUUUGGUUGCAUACAAAAUCCUGUAGGAUUUGAGCAGGUAAGACACUGCAAUCCCCCUAUCCUAUGAAUUCUCAUAAACGCGGAGUGUUAGAAACAAGAGAUUCUUAUCAAAGUGUACAACCUACUAAAACUGUCUUCAGUUUCCGCUCAUUAGAAAAUCAUCUUGCUGAAGAGAGAAUUCCUUAUUUAACACUGUCUAAAGCUUUGUUUUCUCUAUUUGGCACUGAAAAAAGAGAUAUUUCUUCCCUAUCUAACACAACCUUUAAAUUUUGUUCCCAAUAUAACAAUUUUUUUUCAUGCAAACAAUGCUAAAUGACAUGAAAUGACAAACAUCUAUUCAAUCCUUUUCUCUAUUCCAGUGUCUUAUUUAAGGCUGGAGUCCACGGUUAGUGUAACAGAAUAACACAAAAGGUUCAAGUACGUUGUCUUAUUUAAGGGAACCGUUGUGUAGCACAAGCAAGGCCAAAGGCUCAAGUACGUACAUACAUACGCAGCUAGAGACGAGCACGUUCUUCUUCUAGGGUACGCUGAUGGUUAUCGAAAGCUGGCUAGACUCUGCACCUUCGUUCCUGACAAGCAGACUCCUCACGGACUGCUCAGGAACACUUUCCUUGAAUAAAGCUCUUGAAUGUUGCCUGCAAAAAAAAAAGUUAAUCAAGUUGCCUGUGUAUUUCUGAGCUCGCACGGCGUGCGCUGCAUUUGAGUGAAUCGAUCUAGCAUUCUAAAAUCAACACUCCACCACGGGCUCGCCCAACACCCGCCCGCUCUCGUCCGCUGUGCUUUGGUCGCCCCUGGUGGGAGCUCCUAUUCGGUGCUCCAGGCGCCAGGGAAGCUCACGCGCUGGCACAGGUGGGCCGGCCCAUGUACACAUUCACAUUGGAGAAAAAAUGAAAAAAAGAACAGGAAAAAACAUGAAAAACCAAAAGAAAACAUGAGUUCAAAAAAGUUCAUGGAUUUUUAAAAAAUCUUAAACUUGAAGAAAAAGCUCAUCAAUUUGAAAAGAAGUUCAUAAAUUUAUCUUAAAACACCAUUGAAUUUGAAAAAAAUAACAAAAAAGUUUAUCGAUUUUGAAAAAAGUUCACCUAUUUUUAAAAAAUCAUCAUUUUUGCAAAACUUUCUACUCUCUCUCUCUCGGUUUACAGGGCGUGCGCGCACUCCUAGGUCAUCAAUUUGACCAAACUAAUACAAGUCAUAUAUUACAAAAAAUAUACCAAUAUAAACUUUGGAGUUUCUACUCUCAAAAUGUAUAAUUUUUGUGUUAUAUACUCCCUUCAUUCCUAAAUAUUUGUCUUUCUAGAAAUUUCAAAUGGACUACCACAUACGGAUGCAUAUACACAUAUUUUAGAGUGUAGAUUCACUCAUUUUGCUCCGUAUGUAGUCACUUAUUGAAAUCUCUAAAAAGACAAAUAUUUAGGAACAAAGGGAGUAGUUUAUAUUAGGGUGAUAAAAUUGGCAACCUAGGUAUACGCGCAGGACUUGUAAAUUGAAACGGAGGUAGUAUAAAAAUCAACAAUUUAAAAAAAAAGGUCAUCAAUUCUAUAAAAAGUUCUUAAAAUUGAAAAAAAAAUCAUCAUUUUAAAUAAAAAAAACUUCACCAAUUCUGAGAAAAGUUCACGAAAUUUAAGUAAAAAAGAAAAAAAUAGCUAAAUGGGCCGGCCCAGCUUAGAGGGCUUCAUGAGCUCGUUUGCAAAAUGAACAGUAACGAACCCAUGAAGCACCAAAUAGGUGCGAAGGAAAUGAGUGACCUGACCUGAUUGGUGCUUCUAGUGCCAGGGGUAAACUUGUCAUUUCACGUGUUAUAUGGGGAACAGGAUUUCAACCGAAUUUUUUAUUAUUAAUAAUUAAUAACCCAAUAAUUUGGAAACUAGUGACGGGGAAGUGGAAAUUUUAAAAAUAGUAAGGACGCUAAGUACAAUGGCGUCCACAGCUGGAUACUAUCGAGGAUAGCGUCCAGGUCUGGACGCUAUUAGUAAGUGCGUCCAGUCAAGUGAUUCGCCUAACCAUCAGAUUCGACUAAACCGGGUCUUUCCUAAUGACAGACAGAAGUUACGCGAGGUUUAAAACCCUAGUACGCAUGCAGUCUGCGCUCCUGGAACUCGCCGUAUGGUAAGCAAUCUCUGGCAGCCGGCAACACCGAUCAUCACAGGAGCGGCAAGGUCUCAUCAGCCGCUCGCCAUUAGGAUCCUCCAAUUGACUUUGUGCUUGAUUCAUGUUAGUUGUUGUACUGUCCUACUGAAUCUCCUUUGUUUUAAUCUUUAUGCAAUUGAUUCAAUGAUUUACAAGCAGACACUCUAUAAAUGAUUGGAUUGGUAUUCCUGAAUUACAAUCCUUAAUUGGGUGGUUUGUGAGAAGCCAAAUUUUCAGUCGUGAGUCUAUGGUAGAUCAAUUUAAAAUUGUGAUAUUCACUUGCUGCACGUUCAUGUUUGUAGGUGCAUAUAAGAAUAUGUUAAUCGUUCUGGUUUACGUGGAUGGUGAAGUGCAACAUGGGUCCAUGAGUGUGGAGUAUACUAUUCCUCCCAAGUUAACAUUUCCAGCAUCCGAGAAUACCACUUUUGAAGAUAUCAAGAGUGAGACAUGUCGAGGACUUGCACAUGUUAAUGUCAGUGCUCAAACGAACCUGAAUAUCCAAGCUUGCUUUGAUAUUGGAGCUCCUGGACCACAUUAUUUUCAGUUAAUUCCAAUAUAUGAGGAAAGAGGGUGGAACAUGAUUUUUGAGAAGACCAAGUCCCGGACAACGUGGCAAGUGAUAGAGUUAUAUGUUAACAUCACGCCAAAUCAAGACAUGUUGAGCCAAGUCAGCGGUGGAAGCAACAUACCAAUAAUUGAAAGGCACUUACAAAGGUAUGGAAGUGCAGUGCACUCGUCAUUGCAUCAAACAUCUGCCAGUGGUUUUCCAAAUUCUAGUUCGUGUGGUCUUGAUUUCGACAUGGCACAUGCUCCAUCUUCUACUCAUGGUACUGUGACAAAUGAUUUUCCAACAGGUACUGUCAAUGACCCAUAUGAUCAGGAGGAUACAGAGACAGAGGAGGAUUUUAUGGGACAUGAUGAUGAUGAGCAUGAUUCCGAUGCCGCACCUAGCCAGAGUUCAGACGAAGAUCCAGAACCAAGCGUUAUGCAUCAUGUUAAUGCAUUUCCAUUCAUGCGUACAUGUGGACAGAAUGGCGUGAGAGCCUUUGGUGACAUAUCUAUACUAACGGAGACGACAGCAGAUGAAAGUUUUUUUGGAUGCAAGAAGCACUUUCAAAGCCCAUUGUCAGAGCAGCAAAUUUUUGAUUCAAAAGAGCACCUCAAAAUUGCGAUUGGUGAAUUUCACAUAAACAUGAACUUGAAAGUGAAGUCCAACACAAGCAGUCAAUCUAAACUUGUAGCAGAGUGUAUUGAUGACAGUUGCAUGUGGAGGUUGUAUGCAAUACCAACAAAAAUUGGUUCAUGUUGGCAAAUAAGGAAAUGUCCUUAUUCUCACACUUGUCGUGCACCGGCUAAUAGAACUGACCAUUCUCAGUUAUCGGCCUCUAUAAUUGCAGAUGUGAUUCGUGAAGCACUCAAGGAUGACCUAGAGUUAAGUAUAAAAAAUGUGCGGGCAUUGGUCAAACACCGUUACAGAAAUGUGAGACCAUCAUACAAUAAGUUGUGGCGUGGAAGGGAGAAGGCCAUAGCAUAACUUUUUGGUAGCUGGGAAGGAUCAUACAAUCUUCUCAUCCCCUUCCUCGAGGCUAUUAGAGUAAAAAAUCCAGGUACAAAGUAUGUUCUUCUAUCAAAACCCAUGACAUUAGAAGGGCAUAGAGAAUUUCGAUGUGUUGCUUGGGCAUUUGGACCUUGCAUUGCAGCAGUUCCCCACCUUCGACCUGUAAUAAGUGUGGAUGCAUCAUUUCUAUCAGGAAGAUACAAGGGCCGGUUGAUAAUGGCUUGCGGAUAUGAUGCUAAUAAUAAGUUAAUACCUCUUGCAUUUGCCAUUGUUGAGAAAUAGGACGCUACGAACUGGGGCUGGUUCAUGAGAUGGUUGCGGAGGGAGGUAAUUGGUGUUGGAAAGUUCAUGUGUGUGAUUUCAGAUCGCCACAAAGCAAUCAAAUGGGUGUUUAAGCAACCACACCUUGGGUGGAAUGAAAGUGCUGGCGAGUGUGUGCAUCGCUUUUGCUCUCAACAUGUCGUAGAGAACCUAUACAAAGCUUUUUGUGAUGAUGACAUUUUGAAAAUUUUCAAGUGGGCAGUCAAGAAAAAGAAACCUCGUAGGUUUGAGGAGGGCAUGUCAUCUAUUGAACAUACUUGUCCCGAUGCAACAACAUAUCUUAGAAAGGUCGGUAAGUAUUUGCAGGAAGAUAAAAAUGAGCAAGAGAAGCCUGAGAAAGUAUUUCAAUGCAAGGAUGGGGGUUACCGGUGGGGGAUCAUGACAAGCAAUGGGUCGGAGUCCUUAAACAAUGUGCUUAGGCUUUCCCGAAGGCUACCGGUGGCAGCAAUUGUGGAGGAGACAUUUUCAAAGUGCUUAGAGUGGUUUGUAGAAAGAAGGCGAAGUGCUCUUAACUUGGUUGACGGAGGCAACCAAUGGUCCGAACGGGUGGACAAACUAUUAGUUAAAAGGGGCGACAAGGCAGGACAUAUGCAUGUUAUUUCAUAUGGUGAUGAAGUUGGAAUAUUUGAGGUCAAGGUUGAUAAUGAGAGGGUUGCAUUACACAAUGGAGAUCAUGUUCUUUUUAUUCAUAAAGACUUUAAGUACAAGGUCACUCUGCAACCAAAUACUUCUUCAUCUUGUGACUGCCUAAAGCCAAACCUGACCGAUGUGCCAUGUGCUCAUUUGCUUGCUGUUUGCAAGUACAGGAAUCUAAAUGAAAAUCAAAUAGUUCAUUCAUAUUAUUCCUCUGAAGUACUUGCAAACACUUGGGCUGGACAAUUUCAUCCUUACGGGAACCAAAAUGAGCAAACACUUGGGCCCAUUAUUAUUCUUCAGGAUACUCCACUAGAUAAACCUCAGUAAAUCAUAUUCUCUCUCAGUAUGAGCUAUGCUUACGAAACCAAUGAGAAAUCAUUAAAGCUGCUGCAUCAACAAUAUCAAUCAUUUACUGUCAACUACAUACUCAGCACGGUUCAUUCCACAUAAGGAGAUGGAAGUGCUGAACACUAAGUAGCUAGACAACAACAAUAAGCCACACAUGACAUACUGACAAAUGCAGCUAUGCAGCAACGAUGAAUUCAAAAGGAUCAUCCACACAGUGGAAAACGUAGCAAAUACAGUCAUCCAUCAGCAUCUGAUUUAGAAUCAUGGAAAUGACGCAAUCAUAAGCACACUCACCAUAAUAAACCAGAUUUUGAAGGUUCUCUUUGCUAACUUUCUUAAAUACAUUGCUUUUAAUCUCGGCAAAAUUAUUGGACACCAAAAGAGCCAAUAGUGCAUUGUUAUGUUCAGGAAUAGACUUUUUUUCACUCAGUAUCAAUGUCAAUCUAUUAAUCAGAAGAAGAGACAAAUACCAUGCAAGAAAUAGAAGAUAUUUUCUAGCAUCUAUUGUAGUGUUGGAGAGGAAGAACAUACAGCUUCAGGGGAAAAGUACAGAGCCUACCAUCCUGUGCUCCGGCGGGUGAUGAUUGAGGCUGUGAGGAAUGCUGGGACGAGGAACGGAACAGUUGUGCUGACCGCGGUCGAGAGAAGAGAGAAGGGCCGUCAACUCCGUCAAACUCGCCGUGGUGGCGCAACCUAGUUUGACAGAGGUGGGAGGCUACCACGAGGUGUUCUAGGGGAUGACAGGGAGGCGGCCUUGAGGAGGUGGGCGAGAGAUGAGGUGGAGGGCGGCGGCGGCAGCGGUGGCCAAGGGGGCGAUGGGCCGAAGUUGCUGGAUAGGAGCCCAGCCUAAACGUGGACGUGAUUGAUGCUAGCGUCCAGUCCAGGACGUCGCUUAUACUAGCGUCCGUGCAUGGACGCCGUAAUGCCUAGCGUCCUUACUAUUUCUAAAAAAUGUAAUUAUCCUUUCCUCGUUUCAUAAUUCCGUGAUUACUAAUUACUAUUAAUAAAAAAUUCGGGGAUUUCAAAGUAGGUAUUAAAUAAGGAAGAAAUAUUUCUUCAGAGUCAAAUAGGGAAACGAAAUUUAAAACUGUGUUAAACAAGGAAUUCUUUCAUUGCACAAAGGGAGGUCAAAACAGUGUUUCCUAUUAGACGUGUAAAGAAUAGCUAUAUUUUUUGCAGGGGCAAGAAAUGGCUAUAUGUGAAGAUGCUUUGUACUAGGAAGGCGCUAUUAACAGAUGCUCAUACAGUUAACACAUAACAAAUCAAGAUAUUAGGUCUCUGAAAGAAAUGGAUGCUGUAAUGGGGGUAUGGGCUCCAAGUUCACACCGUGGGCUCCAAGUUCACACCAUGGGCUCCAAGUUCACACCGUGGCAGGGCUUUCUGAAAACAUAUAACAAUCGCAGGUACAAAACCCAGACAAGCUACAUAACUGAAUAAACAGCAGAGUACCAAGUAAUCAAACAAAGGCACCAGACUCAUGUAUAAAAAUCUUAAAAAGAUUGGUCUUCUCAAAAUAGAAACCACGGGCUAAAGAUAGUGUCAACACAAUGGCCAUAGCUCUAUAGGUACGGACUGGUAAUACAGGACUUUGCUUCCGGAUAAAAUUCACCAGCUAGCCAAGUUCUAUUUCUUCUUGUCACCAGCACCACCACCAGCAGACCUGCAUAUCAUGAGACAACAUUUUAGUCAUUUAUAAAACAACCGUUGCAGCAAAACAGAAUGGCAACUAUUUUUUCCUGAAUGUAGAAGACAUUAAAUUGGUCAGGCAAAAGAAAAAACUAAAGAACUACAAGAAAAUAGAAACAUGAUUAUGCUGAAGAUUGCAUUGUAUAUGCAACACCGAAAACCCUACCAUCUUCCAAGUGGGAACUGCUGUCUACAACCUAUACUACUUGACAUGGAGAAAAGCCACAUCUACAAAUUAAAAAAAAUAUUGGAAGAAUUGUUGAGUGCAUAGGCAAUAAGCAACAACUGAACGCCUAGAGACAAGAUAGGCACUAGGCAGAGAUUAAAAAAAAUGGAAUUUAGACCUAGCGCUUUAUUUAAGCUUUGGCUGGAAGCCAUCACAGCAUUUCUUAAUUGAAAGAUUUUUUUUGUCUUCAAUUCACUUAUAAACCAAACAAAUUCAUAAUUCUCCUACUACUAGAGGAUGCACUAUGCACUAAUGCUCUAGGUAACUACGUAGUCCAGAACAAAAAGGAAAACUGAAUAAUAGGGCAGCAGAGUCAAAUAAUGUUCAUAAUAUAAAUGUUAAGUCUAGUUGUUACACACCUCAUCUUCCUAAGGACACUUGACAUCUCCUCUCUCUUCUUCUUUGCUCUCUUGUGAGUACCAAGCUUUCUCUUGGCGACCUUGAGUGCACGCUUGUCCUUUCCAACCUUAAGAAGCUCAGUGAUACGCUUCUCAUAGGGAGCAAAUCCAGCAACCUCCCUGAUCAAGUUCCUGACAAAAUGCACCCUCUUUGUACCUUUCUGCAAAAUAUGCGAACAUAACAAUGUAAGGAUAACUGCAAACUGAUAGACAUGCUAUAAUAAUUCAGCUGAGCAUAUAGGAGCAUGUAAGUGCAGAGUUAACUUUGUUUCAGUUUCACACAAGUUACAAUUCCUUAAAAAAAAGCCAACUAGAAUAGCCGAAUAACAAUUUGGUCCCAAACUCAGCAAGGUUCUAUUUUACUUUUAACACGACUUGACAACAGUUGUAAAUAAUAUCAAGAAAGGAAGGUGAUCUGAAUCUGCAUUGGCUAUUACUUAAAUGCAGAAAUACAACAGGCCUGUGUAGGUAAUCAAGCCCAAUACAGAAUCCAGAUUUACACAUGAAAACAAGAGGCUAUCAAUGCUGCCAAGUUACACAAGGCCAUGGUUAUGCAUCGAACAAUAUGAGAAUUAAGACUAAUACUAGAUGGCAUUGAAAACUGCAUUAACAACUAUUUACAGAUGAAUAUUGCAAUAUCCCUCAAAAAGGUGUGUAGCACAGUCAGUGAUACUUUAGAAAUGAAAAUACAAGGUACUUGAUUGAGCGGCCACAUUUCACCAACAACUAUAGACCUCCAGGACUAGCAACUUAGGACUUCUUAAAUAUCAAAAAUGCCAAAGGUGUGUUGAUGCAUCAUUACAUCACUGCAGACACAAGGCUGCUCUCAAUCUUGUAGAAUUUUUAUCAGUUCUCAAUUCGGCGAGCUUCCAUGCAAUACAAGGUACACCUCACAGAUAUUUACCCCGACUACUUUUACCCUUUAGUAGCAUCAACCAUACUAUGCUACAGUGUUCUUAACAUCAAGCUCACCACCCUUUUCUUGAUCAUAACUACAACAGACACGAAAAUAAUACUAAACCUAGUAGACUAAAACAACGGAACUACCGAGCAAACACAGAUCUAGAGAACAGUCCGAGGCCAGUACAAUCUAAAUGGGCAGAUCAAGCGGGCACUGAGAACAAAUCAGAAGACGCAUAUGGGCAGGAGAAGGAGGAUAUCGGAGGUUAGAGACGGCUUAUUACCCCCUUGCGGUCGGACGGGCGAGGCGGCAGCUCGCGCUUGGUGACGACGUGGCCCUUGUUGAUGCCCACGAAGAGCCCUGACUUGGGCUGCGACGGCGCCAUGGCCGGACUCCCACUCGCUCCUGCUAACCUGCAACGGACGCACGCAAGGUUACGAGUGAUCUGACACAAGAUUCAUGGUGCGGGCGGCGGCGCUGCUUGCAGGCUUACGUUGAGAAUGGAUGCAAGUGAAACCCUAAUCCGCCGCCAGCGCCCGGGAAGAAACCCUAAGCUGCGUGAGGCAGGAUCUUAUAUAUGGCCAGGGCGUGAAAUCUCUCCACGCUAGACUGAUGGGCCUGUCUUCGUGGGCUUACUCGGCUUGUUUUGCUCACCUUAUGGAUAGGCCCACUUUUGUGCGUGUGUAAGUUGUUAGCGCAAAAUGCAGUAUUUGAUGCCAAAAAAAAAAUUUACAGUGUUUGAUUUGCUAAAAAAAAUGCAGUAUUUGAUCAUUUGAACAACAUAUAAAUGCGGUGUUUCUGCUAUGUUAGCUAGGAGCCAAAACAUUAUCUUUACUUUUAGAGAAAGGAAGAAAAUACAUUAUUUACCGCAAAAAGAUACAAUACACACACCACGGUGAAAACAAAAUGUCACACGAACCGAUAACAAAAUUGUCAGCCUUUUUUCAUAUGAGUGCGCCUAAAACUCAGCCUACUCAGUCAAGUGAUGUCAUCCCAUGAGUUAAUACUAUGUAAACAUUUUUGUAUUGGUUGAUUUUUUCACUCACUUGCAACUGAGAAAACCUCAGUGGCUUCCUGCUUACAACUCCUAUGGCAAUGCAAAUCUGAUUGUUCUAGAAUUGAUAAAGAUCUAUCUGGAUUCUUUGUCGGUUGAGAAUUAACAAAAUCGUUUUCAUAUUCAUAGUGUUCCCAGGCUUUUUUUGUGUGGGCGAAGAACACCGUAUGUAAAGACCAUCGACCAGGACACAUAUGUUGUCGCGACACUCGAUGGCACGUAAAAGAAGGUCGAGACCCUAGAGUGCAACAAACGUUGAUACCACCAAUAUGUAAGAAUAUGAGUCUCCUCCAACAUACCUCAAGUACCUCGCUGAUUUUCAGGCGACACUAGAGAGGGCACCACAAGUACGGGUAGCCAGGGAUGACUCAAAAGGACGGUUAAUAUGUGAGAUGAUGUCUCUUUGCCAUGGUGAUGCAUCCGACUACUAGUGUCUUGGACUAUGUGAGCCACGAUGGUAUAACAGAGAGCUAGACCACCAUUUUCCGUCACACUAGUGCUGAUCGUUGUGCAUCCAUAUGAGGUGAAACAAGUGACUUCUGGUUCUUGACAAUCUAAACUAAACAUACGUCCGAAGAGAAAAUGGCUUGGGCGACCCGGUCAUUUUCUUUGUGAAUGUCUGCUCGAUUUAAUCUGCUCCCCAGAGUUCAAUUACUGUACGCUCCACUCUGCGGUCCACUCUUCGUCUCAGAUACAGACCGCGUUCCGGUUGUCCGGNNNNNNNNNNNNNNNNNNNNNNNNNNNNNNNNNNNNNNNNNNNNNNNNNNNNNNNNNNNNNNNNNNNNNNNNNNNNNNNNNNNNNNNNNNNNNNNNNNNNNNNNNNNNNNNNNNNNNNNNNNNNNNNNNNNNNNNNNNNNNNNNNNNNNNNNNNNNNNNNNNNNNNNNNNNNNNNNNNNNNNNNNNNNNNNNNNNNNNNNNNNNNNNNNNNNNNNNNNNNNNNNNNNNNNNNNNNNNNNNNNNNNNNNNNNNNNNNNNNNNNNNNNNNNNNNNNNNNNNNNNNNNNNNNNNNNNNNNNNNNNNNNNNNNNNNNNNNNNNNNNNNNNNNNNNNNNNNNNNNNNNNNNNNNNNNNNNNNNNNNNNNNNNNNNNNNNNNNNNNNNNNNNNNNNNNCCCUUUUGCAUAAAACAUGUGCUGCUAAAACUAAAUUUUUGAUACAUCUACACCGGCGUACCAGGAUCUAAGGCUAACUAUGUCUUUUGCAUGAUCAUUUCCUUUGGGGAAACCCGCCGAGACCCUCGACGCCACCAUAUGCUACAACAAACAGCGAAGACCCUCCCCCGACUCUUCGAGGCACCCAGAGGCUCAGAGGCUACACCUAGUGGGUGCGUUGGCGCGCCUCCACUAGAAGAAAGGUGCGCCAGCUGAGGCCCGCAGACAGUUGUCAUCUGCAACCUCAGAGAUACGACAACAAAGACCCUCCGUCCAACUCUUCAAGUCACCCGGAGGCUCGGAGGCUACUGUCGGGGGAUGAACCCCGGCUAGUCCCAAGACGGUGAGCCGGGUCGGUUGCUCCGGCUGGCCGACUACCUGAAGUCAACUACAACGUCUCAUUGUACAUGUGUGGACGAGACAGCCAUACCCUGUGGCGGGGCAAUGUUGAUGGAUAGCAGACACUAUGCACACGUCAUGCAUGUUAGACUACCUGGGUCAUCCCUUGUCCCUUGGACACCAGUUUAUAAGUGAGGGAGUCCUGGACUAAGGGGUCCUCGGGUGUCUGGCCUGUUAGCCAUGGACCGGACUGAUGGGCUGUGAAGAUACAAAGACCGAAGACUCUACCCGUGUCCGGAUGGGACUCUCCUUGGCGUGGAAGGCAAGCUUGGCGACCAACUAUGAAGAUUCCUUUCACUGUAACCGACUUUAUGUAACCCUACAUCCCUCUGGUGUCUAUAUAAACCGGAGGGCUAGAUCCUUAGAGGGGAACGAUGAUAAUCAUAAUCUGAUAGGCUAGACUUCUAGUGUUUUAGCCAUUACGAUCUCAUGGUAGAUCAACUCUUAUAACCCCCAUACUCAUUAAUAUUAAUCUAGCAGGACGUAGGGUUUUACCUCCAUCGAGAGGGCCCGAACCUGGGUAAACAUUGUGUUCCCUGUCUCCUGUUACCAUCAACCUCAGACGCACAGUUCGGGACCCCCUACCCGAGAUCCGCCGGUUUUGACACCGACAUUGGUGCUUUCAUUGAGAGUACCGCUGUGUCGCCGCCAAGAGGUUCGAUGGCCCCGUCAAUCAUCCACAACAACAUUAUCCCGGGAGAAACCUUCCUCCCGGAUAGAUCUUCGUGUUCGGCAGCUUCGCACUGCGGGCCAACUCGCCUGGCCAUCUAGAGCAGAUCGAUAGCUACGCCCCUGGCCACCAGGUCAGAUUUGGAAGCUUGAACUAUGUCGUGGACAUACGCGGAGACUUGAUCUUCGAUGGAUUCGAGACCGCGGCAGUAGCCGCUCCCUGUCACCACGAUGAACAUGACUUAAAUCUGUCAUCGAACCACACCCAGGAGAUGGAACCUACAACCGCUCCGGCUCUAGAUCCGGAGCAGAUCACACCAUCUGAGGACGGGAGGCUCAGCCCCGCCACGAGGCCGCAGACUCAGUGGCGUUGGAGCCGCACACAGACCCAACAUCAAGUGAGAUCUGUGUUGCCAGAACCUCAGACACGUUUGCGGCUACAGGUUCCGAGGCAUGUGCGUCCGCGCACAACGAGCUUGAUCGGGCGUCGAUUGUUGAAUUCAGCUCCGUGGACAUCUUCUGGCACUCACCUUUAGACGAUGUGCUAAACUCAUUAAAAACACUCUCCUUAGCGGGGGACUCACAACCGAAUUAUAUCCGGUUUGAACUGGAGGCCGAUGACGGAGAAUUUCGCUUCCCACCCCCGCCCACUUAAUAGCCACUGUCAAAGACCUAACUGACAUGCUCGAUUACGGCUCCGACGACAUCGAUGGUAUGGACGACGAUGCCGGAGAAAGAAGAGGCCCAAAACCCGCAGUUUACCGGACGCUGGACUAUCACUUUCUCGUAUGACGUAUACAUGGUGGAUGCACCAAAAGAGAAUAGCGGCGAUGACAAGGAAGAUCCGGUUGAGGAUAAACCUCCCGAGAUACAACCAAAGCGCCGGCGUCAGCGGCGCCACUCUAAGUCACACCGCAGCAAAGACAGCAGCACCGACACAUGAGAAGAUAAUACUCCGGACUAUGCCGGAGAAAAUGAAGACCCCGUUGAGGCAACUCAAACAAAAUGAACAGAAAGACAUGCAAGUUAGCCCUGGUGAACAGGCCACACAUGAAGACUCGGAGGACAGUAAUUAUCUUCCGCUCUUCGAGGAUGAGGCGAGCCUCGGCACUGAGGAUUUUAUCGUGCCUGAGGAACCUCUCGAGCAGGAGUGCUUCAAGCGCCAGCUAAUUGCCACUGCAAGGAGCCUGAAAAAGAAGCAGCAACAGCUUCAAGCUGAUCAAGACCUGCUCAAUGAUAAUGGACUAACAUCCUGGAAGCCGAGGAAUACGGCCUCAAGCGACCACUCAAAAGUUACCCGAAGCGCAAAUUACUACCUCAAUUCGAUGACUGAUAUGUCUCCAACGUAUAUAUAAUUUUUGAUUGCUCCAUGCUAUUAUAUUAUCUAUUUUGGAUGUUAAUGGGCUUUAUUUUACACUUCUAUAUCAUUUUUGGGACUAACCUACUAACGGAGGCCCAGCCCAAAUUGCUGUUCUUUGCCUAUUUUAGGGUUUCGAAGAAAAAGAAUAUCAAACAGAGUCCAAAUGGAAUGAAACCUUCAGGAACGUGAUUUUCUCAACAAACGUGAUCCAGGAGACUUGGAGUGGCCGUCAAGAAACAAGGGAGGAAGGCACGAGGCAGGGGGCGUGCCCUCCAUCCUCGUGGGCCCUCCGUUGCUCCACUGACGUACUUCUUCCUCCUAUAUAUAUCCACGUACCCCCAAACAUCCAGGAGCACCACGAAAACCUAAUUCCACCGCCGCAAAACUACUAGGAAAAAGCCUAGUAGUAGCGCGGGUGCCUGCGCUACUACUACGGCACUACAGCUAACUAGUAGUAGUAGCGCGGUGCAUCCUGUGUUACUACUACUAACUAUCUAUAGCGCGUGUCUGUGACCCGCGCUACUACUAUUAAUUUAAAAAACCAAAAAAAAUCUUGACCCCGUGCAUGUUGUCAAUGGUUCGGUUGACGGCGCCGACGGCCAUGAUGACGGGCGGUGGCCCGCGGCGAUGCGCAUGUUAGCCGGGAGCAGGGAGAUCUCGGCCAUGACGCGUGCCUCGUGGAGGCCGCGGAGGCCAGCUGGGCAUGGGCCGUGAGCUGGAGGACCUGGAUCUUGGCGUCGUGUGUGGGGAGCAGCACCUCGUGGCAGCCGUCGCCGUUGAGGUCGGCGAAGAGCGGCGGAGGAGGAAGGGGAUGGGUCAGCUAGGGUUCGGAUUGAAUCAAAGAGUGGGAGGAGGAGGGCUAGCCUAGAGCGAGAAGAAGACGACGAAGGCGGCGAGGAGGAGGUUGCCGAGGUCAUGCUUCCGCAUCUUGGCAGCGGCGAGGAGCUCCGGCGACCUCCCAUCAGAGGGAUCUCGGAGAGGGAGGGGGAAGAAAGCAGAGUGUACCAACGACGGCCACCGUUGGAGUACGAGGGAGAGAGGAGGAAAGUGAGAGAGGGGGAAAGUGAGGGAGAGAGGAGGGAUUCGGCCGAGGAUGUGUGGAUUUCACCUACCUCGUACUUAGUAGUAGCAAGGGGUAUAAAACCGCGGUAGUACUAUCAACUUAGUAGUAGCGCGGGUUUGUACCCCUCGCUACUACUAUGGCAUGUCCCGGGAGGGCACGGUAGAGACCGCUUAGUAGUAGCGCGGGUUAAAAACCCGCGUUACUAGUAUCAACUUAGUAGUAGCGAGGGGUAAAAACCCGCGCUACUACUAAGUAGGAGUAGCGAGGGUUAUAAACCCGCACUACUAGUAAGCGUCUGCGUAUAAGUUUUUCCCUAGUAGUGCAACCUUCUGUACUCGAGAGAUCCCAUCUCGGGGCCUUUUCCGGAGCUCCACCGGAGGGGGCAUUAAUCAUGGAGGGCCUCUACAUCAACUCCAUGGCCUCUCCGGUGAUGUGUGAGCAGUUUACUUCAGACCUACGGGUCCAUAGUUAUUAGCUAGAUGGCUUCUUGUCUCUCUUUGGAUCUCAAUACAAAGUUCUCCUCGAUUUUCUUGAAGAUCUAUUCGAUGUAAUCUUCUUUUGCGGUGUGUUUGUCGAGAUCCGAUGAAUUGUGGGUUUAUGAUCCAGAUUAUCUACGAACAAUAUUUAAUUCUCCUCUAAAUUCUUUUAUGUAUGAUUGGUUUAUCUUUGCAAGUCUCUUCGAAUUAUCAGUUUGGUUUGGCCUACUAGAUUGAUCUUUCUUGCAAUGGGAGAAGUGCUUAGCUUUGGGUUCAAUCUUGCGUUGUUUGAUCCCAGUGACAGAAAGGGAACCGAUACGUAUUGUAUUGUUGCCAUCGAGGAUAAAAAGAUGGGGUUUAUAUCAUAUUGCAUGAGUUUAUCCCUCUACAUCAUAUCAUCUUCCUUAAAGCAUUACUCUGUUCUCUUGAACUUAAUACUCUAGAUGCAUGCUGGAUAGCGGUCGAUGUGUGGAGUAAUAGUAGUAGAUGCAGGCAGGAGUCGGUCUACUUGUCUCAGACGUGAUGCAUAUAUACAUGAUCAUACCUAGAUAUUCUCAUAACUAUGCUCAAUUCUAUCAAUUGCUCGACAGUAAUUCGUUCACCCACCGUAAUACUUAUGCUCUUGAGAGAAGCCACUAGUGAAACCUAUGCCCCCCGGGUCUAUCUUUCAUCAUAUUAAUCUUCCAAUAUUUAGUUAUUUCCUUUGCCGUUUAUUUUACUUUGCGUCUUUAUUUCUCUUUAUCAUAAAAAUACCAAAAAUAUCAUCUUAUCAUAUCUAUCAGAUCUCACUCUCAUAAGUGACCGAGAAGGGCUUGACAACCCCUUUAUCGCGUUGGUUGCGAGGUUCUCUAUUUGUUUGUGUAGGUGCGUGGGACUUGAGCGUGAUCUCCUACUGGAUUGAUACCUUGGUUCUCAAAAACUGAGGGAAAUACUUACGCUGCUUUACUGCAUCACCCUUUCCUCUUCAAGGGAAAACCAACGCAGUGCUCAAGAGGUAGCAAUGACGAGGCACUGGAGCCCAUGCCAUCAGCGCACAAUGCAGCCGACCGACCGCCACGUGGCCGGGACAAAGUGACAACACAAGCCGAACACCAGCCCGCCUUACCUCGCCGUAAAGGCAGAGACAAAACUGCUUAGGGAUACACGUAUGAUCUCCGGCAGGGCCUGAAGAAUAAAACAGGUCCGGGUAGAUCGAUCUACGGAUCAUGGGGGCAUGCCUCGACGCGGGACGACGGCUAUCAAGUCGAACAUGGCAAGUACAAUUAUGUCUGAGCCGAAAGCCGCAGACAGACUCCAUCCUAACUAUGUCACGAACUGGCCCGAUAUAGUGGCGCUGCACACCCUCUCUGCUUCACUGAUGAAGUCAUGGAACAUGAAUUCCUAGAAGGGUUCAAACCCGUGAGUAUCGAAUCAUACGAUGGAACCACAUACCCCGCGGUAUGGAUUGAGGACUUCAUUCUCCAUAUUCAUAUGGCCCACGGUGAUGACUUUCAUGCCAUUAAAUACCUCCCCCUAAAACUCAAAGGGCUAGCCUGAAAAUUCCAUUGGCAGCUGGGAGGACUUGGAAGAAGCCUUCCUUGACAACUUCCAAGGUACAUAUGUUCGACCUCCGGAUGCCGAUGACUUAAGUCACAUAAUUCAACAGCCCAGAGAGUCGGCCAGGAAACUCUGGACUAGGUUCUUAACUAAAAAGAACCAGAUCGUUGACUGUCCGGAUGCCGAAGCCUUGGUGGCCUUCAAACACAGCAUCCGGGAUGAAUGGCUGAUACGUCUCCAACGUAUCUAUAAUUUUUGAUUGCUCCAUGCUAUAUUAUCUACUGUUUUGAAUGUUUAUGGGCUUUAUUAUACACUUUUAUAUCAUUUUUGGGACUAACCUAUUAACCCAGAGCCCAGUGCCAGUUUCUGUUUUUACCUUGUUUUAGGGUUUCGAAGAAAAGGAAAAUCAAACGGAGUCCAAUUGACCUGAAACUUCACGGAACUCAUUUGUGGAAGGAAAGAUGCCUUGAAAACUUGGAGUGCACGUCAGGGGAUCUACGAGGAGGCCACGAGGCAGGGGGCGCGCCCUCCACCCUCGUGGCCCCCCUGACAUACUUCUUCCACCUAUAUAUCUCCAUAUACCCUAAAAACAUCCGGGAACACAAUAGAUCGGGAGUUCCGCCACCAGAAGCCUCCGUAGCCACCGAAAGCCAAUCUAGACCCGUUCCGGCACCCUGUCGGAGGGGGAAUCCCACUCUGGUGGCCAUCUUCAUCAUCCCGGCGCUCUCCAUGACGAGGAGGGAGUAGUUCUCCCUCGGGGCUGAGGGUAUGUACCAGUAGCUAUGUGUUUGAUCUCUCUCUCUCUCUCUCUCUCUCUCGUGUUCUUAACUUGGCACGAUCUUGAUGUAUCGCGAGCUUUGCUAUUAUAGUUGGAUCUUAUGUUUCUUCUCCCCCUCUACUAUCUUGUAAUGGAUUGAGUUUCCCCUUUGAAGUUAUCUUAUCGGAUUGAGUCUUUAAAUAUUUGAGAACACUUGAUGUAUGUCUUGCCGUGCGUAUCUAUGGUGACAAUGGGAUACCACGUGAUUCACUUGAUGUAUGUUUUGGUGAUCAACUUGCGGGUUCCGCCCAUGAACCUAUGCAUAGGGGUUGGCACACGUUUUCGUCGUGAUUCUCCGGUAGAAACUUUGGGGCCCUCUUUGAGGUUCUAUGUGUUGGUUGAAUAGAUGAAUCUGAGAUUGUGUGACGCAUAUCGUAUAAUCAUACCCACGGAUACUUGAGGUGACAUUGGAGUAUCUAGGUGACAUUAGGGUUUUGGUUGAUUUGUGUCUUAAGGUGUUAUUCUAGUACGAACUCUAGGGUUGUUUGUGACACUUAUAGGAAUAGCCCAACGGAUUGAUUGGAAAGAAUAACUUUGAGGUGGUUUCGUACCCUACCAUAAUCUCUUCGUUCGUUCUCUGCUAUUAGUGACUUUGGAGUGACUCUUUGUUGCAUGUUGAGGGAUGGUUAUGUGAUCCAAUUAUGUUAUCCUUGUUGAGGGAACUUACACUUGUGAAAGUAUGAACCCUAGGCCUUGUUUCCUAUCAUUGCAAUACCGUUUAUGCUCACUUUUAUCACUUGCUACCUUGCUGUUUUUAUAUUUUCAGAUUACAAAAACUAUUAUCUACUAUCCAUAUACCACUUGUAUAACCAUCUCUUCGCCGAACUAGUGCACCUAUACAAUUUACCAUUGUAUUGGGUGUGUUGGGGACACAAGAGACUCUUUGUUAUUUGGUUGCAGGGUUGCUUGAGAGAGACCAUCUUCAUCCUACGCCUCCUACGCAUUGAUAAACCUUAGGUCAUCCACUUGAGGGAAAUUUGCUACUGUCCUACAAACCUCUGCACUUGGAGGCCCAACAACGUCUAUAAGAAGAAGGUUGUGUAGUAGACAUCAAGCUCUUUUCUGGCGCCGUUGUCGGGGAGGUGAGUGCUUGAAGGAUAUAUUUAGAUCUUGCAAUGAGUCUUUUAGUUUCUUGUUUUAUCACUAGUUUAGUUUAUAAAAGAAAAUUACAAAAAAAUGGAAUUGAGUUUGUCUCAUACACUUCACCUUUUUAAUAUCUUUCGUGAGUGUGAUGGAAAGGAUAAUUGUGCUCAAGUGCUAGAAGAAGAAAUCUAUAAAAUGUUUGGCACUAAAUAUGUGAAUGAUGAGCAUGAUUGCAAUGUUAUUAGUAUGAAUUCUUUGAAUAUCCAUGAUACUAAUGAUGAUUGCACUAGUUAUGAUGAAAAUGUCUCCUAUAAACAUGUCAAUUUUUGUGGAGUGCAUUGGGUUUAUAAGUACACACCAAAUAGAGAAGAUAGAUAUUGCAAGAAGCAUAAGUACUUAGAAACUAAACUGUUGCAAGAAAGGCUAGAUGAUUGUGCUGAAAAUUUAAAUUUUCCUGGCCAUACUUGUGAGCUUUGUAAUGAACGUGGUCAUUUAACUAUCCGAUGCAAAUUGUCUCAUGAUCUAAUCGUGUCCAAAAAUUGUGAUGACUUGAUUUUCCUUGCACAUUAUAAUGAACUUAGUUUUCUUAUGGACUACGAAUAAAUAAAAUGUAUAACUAACUAUCUUCCGGAAUUUUCCCGCUAUAAACUUCUUGGAUUUGAUCUUGAGGAAAUUUAUAUGUAUUGUGUGGUGAAUUGCAUUGAAAAUCCUUAUAUUGCCAACUACAUAAAGAAAAGAAAACAAAUAGAAGAUGAAGAGAAUAAUAAUGAAAGGGAAGAGACUUCCCAAUACCCUCCUAUUAUUUCUUAUGAUGAAUCAGGUAACGAGGAGGAGCCUCCUAUUCAACUAAUCUCAUUAAUAAGGAGCUCCACAAAGAAGAUUGAGCCCACACAUGAUGUGAUGAAGAAGAAGAAAAGAAAAAGGAAGAGAGGUAAAAAGAUAUCUCUCCCAAAUAAUGUCGCUCCUAUUACUAUUAUGCCUCAUGAAAGUAUAAUUGUGGAAGAUAAUGAUACUUCUUAUGAUCUUGAAAAUCUUUUUGGCACUUGCUUGGAAUAAUAUGAUGAUUGCUAUACUAUUGGUGCUAUCCAUACUAUUAAUGAUGAGAGUGAUUAUGCUUAUGAUAUUAAAAGGCCCAAGCUUGGGGAUGCUAUGUUUGAUGAAGAUGAUAUUUUUAGAAUAUAAUUGCUGAAAUUAAUGUUUGUCCCAAGCUUGGGGAUGCUACGUUUAAUGAAGAUGAUAUUUUUAGUCUCCCAAGUUUUGAUAUGCAAGUUUAUAAUGAUGAUAGCAUGCCUCCUACUUAUAAUGAUUAUUGUUAUGAUACUUAUGCUAUAAAAAGUAGUGAUUAUAUUUAUAAAACUUGUCAUGAUUAUGGUUACCCAUUUUUCUGAACAUUACUCUUUUAAUAUGGAAACAAUUUGUAGUAUUCGAGUCUCUUAUGAUACUCCCACUAUUCCGAAUGAGAAGAAUUUUGCUUAUGUGGAGAGUAGUAAAUUUUUUAUGCUUGUAGAUCAUGAAAAGAAUGCUUUAGGUGCUGGUUAUAUUGUUGAAUUCAUUCAUGACGCUACUGAAAAUUAUUAUGAGGGAGGAAUAUAUGCUUGUAGGAAUUGCAAUAAUAUCAAGUUUCCUCUCUAUGUGCUUAAAAUCUUGAAGCUAUGCUUGUUUUGCCCUCCUAUGCUAGUUGAUUAUUGUUCUCAUAACUUGUUUGCUCACAAAAUCCCUAUGCAUAGGAAGAGGGUUAGACUUAAAUUUUCUAGUCAUAUUCUUCAUGAUGCUCUCUUUAUGUUACAAUUCUUAUCUUCUAUAUGAGCAUCAUUGAAAUCAUCAUGCCUAGCUAGGGGCGUUAAACGAUAGCGCUUGUUGGGAGGCAACCCAAUUUUAUUUUUGUUCCUUGCCUUUUGCUCCUGUUUAGUCAUAAAUAAUUCAUCUAGCCUCUUUUUAGAUGAUGUUUUAUGUUUUAAUUAGUGUUUGUGCCAAGUAGAACCUUUGGGAAGACUUGGGUGAAGUCUUUAUGAUCAUGCUGUAAAAAACAGAAACUUUAGCGCUCACGAGAAUUGCUGCCAUUUUUAUUUGGAGAGUGAUAUUUAGUUAAUUCUUUUUGCAGAUGAUUAAUAGAUAUUUUCCUAAGGUCCAGAAAUUUAUUUGAGAAUUUUAUGAGUUCCAGAAGUAUACGUUUGAUCCAGACUAAUACAGACUGUUCUGUUUUUGACAGAUUCUGUUUUUCGUGUGUUGUUUGCUUAUUUUGAUGAAUCUAUGGCUAGUAAAAGAGUUUACAAACCAUAGAGAAGUCGGAAUACAGUAAGUUUAACACCAAUAUAAAUAAAGAAUGAGUUCAUUACAGUACCUUGAAGUGGUGAUUUAUUUUCUUAUACUAACGGAGCUUACGAGUUUUCUGUUAAGUUUUGUGUUGUGAAGUUUUCAAGUUUUGGGUAAGGAUUCGAUGGACUAUGGAAUAAGGAGUGGCAAGAGCCUAAGCUUGGGGAUGCCCAAGGCACUCCAAGGUAAUAUUCAAGGAUAGCCAAGAGCCUAAGCUUGGUGAUGCCCCAGAAGGCAUCCCCUAUUUCGUCUUCGUUCAUCGGUAACUUUACUUGGAGCUAUAUUUUUAUUUACCACAUGAUAUGUGUUUUGCUUGGAGCAUCAUUUUAUUUUAUUUAGUUUUGCUUGCUGUUUGAAUAAAAUAUCAUGAUCUUAAAUUCUUAAAUGUUAUAGAGUCUUCACAUAGUUGCAUAAUUAUUCAACUACUCAUUGAUCUUCACUUAUAUCUUUCGGAGUAGUUUGUUGUUGCUCCAGUGCUUCACUUAUAUCUUUUAGAGCACGGUGGUGGAUUUGUUUUAUAGAAACUAUUGAUCUCUCAUGCUUCACUUAGAUUAUUUUGAGAGUCUUAAACAACAUGGUAAUGUGCUUAAUCCUAAUAUGCUAGGUAUUCAAGAUUAGUAAAAACUUUCUUAGGAGUGUGUUGAAUACUAAGAGAAGUUUGAUGUUUGAUGAUUGUUUUGAGAUAUGGGGGUAAUAAUAUCAAAGUCGUGCUAGUUGAGUAGUUGUGAAAUUGAGAAAUGCUUGUGUUGAAGUUUGCAAGUCCCGUAGCAUGCACGUAUGGUAAACGUUAUGUAACAAAUUUGAAACAUGAGGUGUUAUUUGAUUGUCCUCCUUAUGAGUGGCAGUCGGGGACGAGCGAUGGUCUUUUCCUACCAAUCUAUCCCCCUAGGAGCAUGCACGUAGUGCCAAGGUUUUUGAUGACUUGUAGAAUUUUGCAAUAAGUAUGUGAGUUCUUUAUGACUAAUGUCGAGUCCAUGGAUUAUACACACUCUCACCCUUCCAUCCUUGCUAGCCUCUUCGGUACCGUGCAUUGCCCUUUCUCACAUUGAGAGUUGGUGCAAACUUCACCGGUGCAUCCAAACCCCGUGAUAUGAUACACUCUUUCACACAUAAACCUCCUUAUAUCUUCCUCAAAACAGCCACCAUACCUACCUAUUAUGGCAUUUCCAUAGCCAUUCCGAGAUAUAUUGCCAUGCAACUUUCCACCGUUCCGUUUAUUAUGACACGCAUCAUCAUUGUCAUAUUGCUUUGCAUGAUCAUGUAGUUUACAUCAUAUUUGUGGCAAAGCCACAGUUAAUAAUUUUUCAUACAUGUCGCUCUUGAUUCAUCGCAAUCCCGGUACACCACCGGAGGCAUUCAUAUAGAGUCAUAUCUUGUUCUAGUAUCGAGUUGUAAAUAAAUAGAAGUGUGAUGAUCAUCAUAGAGCAUUGUCCCAAAAAAAGAGAAAGGCCAAAAAAGGAGUCCAAAUAAAAAGAAGAGAGGCCAAAUAAAAAAAAGAAAGUCCAAAAAAAGGGGACAAUGCUACUAUCCUUUUUCCACACUUGUGCUUCAAAGUAGCACCAUGAUCUUUAUGAUAGAGAGUCUCUUGUUUUGUCACUUUCAUAGACUAGUGGGAAUUUUUCAUUAUAGAACUUGGCUUGUAUAUUCCAACAAUGUGCCUCCUCAAGUGCCCUAGGUCUUCGUGAGCAAGCAAGUUGGAUGCACACCCACUUAGUAUCUUUUGUUGAGCCUUCAUACAUUUAUAGCUCUAGUGCAUCCGUUGCAUGGCAAUCCCUACUCCUUGCAUUAACAUCAAUCGAUGGGCAUCUCCAUAGCCCAUUGAUUAGCCUCGUUGAUGUGAGACUUUCUCCUUUUUGUAUUCUCCACAUAACCCCCUCAUUAUUCUAUUCCACCCAUAGUGCUAUAUCCAUGGCUCGUGCUCAUGUAUUGCGUGAAAGUUUAUAGGUUUGAGAUUACUAAAGUAUGAAACAAUUGCUUGGCUUGUCAUCGGGGUUGUGCGUGAUGAGAGCAUUCUUGUGUGACGAAAAUGGAGCAUGACUAAACUGUAUGAUUUUGUAGGGAUGAACUUUCUUUGGCCAUGUUAUUUUGAGAAGACAUGAUUGCUUAGUUAAUAUGCUUGAAGUAUUAUUAUUUUUAUGUCAAUAUUAAACUUUUGUCUUGAAUCUUAUGGAUCUGAAUAUUCAUACCACAAUUAAGAAGAAUUACAUUGAAAUUAUGCCAACUAGCAUUCCACAUCAAAAAUUCUUCCUUUUAUCAUUUACCUACUCGAGGACGAGCAGAAAUUAAGCUUGGGGAUGCUGAUACGUCUCCAACGUAUCUAUAAUUUUUGAUUGCUCCAUGCUAUAUUAUCUACUGUUUUGAAUGUUUAUGGGCUUUAUUAUAUACUUUUAUAUCAUUUUUGGGACUAACCUAUUAACCCAGAGCCCAGUGCCAGUUUCUGUUUUUACCUUGUUUUAGGGUUUCGAAGAAAAGGAAAAUCAAACGGAGUCCAAUUGACCUGAAACUUCACGGAACUCAUUUGUGGAAGGAAAGAAGCCCAGAAAACUUGGAGUGCACAUCAGGGGAUCUACGAGGAGGCCACAAGGCAGGGGGCGUGCCCACCCCCUGGGCGCGCCCUCCACCCUCGUGGGCCCCUCGUGGCCCCCCUAACGUACUUCUUCCGCCUAUAUAUCUCCAUAUACCCUAAAAACAUCCGAGAACACAAUAGAUCGGGAGUUCCGCCGCCAGAAGCCUCCGUAGCCACCGAAAGCCAAUCUAGACCCGUUCCGGCACCCUACCAGAGGGGGAAUCCCUCUCCGAUGGCCAUCUUCAUCAUCCCGACGCUCUCCAUGAUGAGAAGGGAGUAGUUCUCCCUCGGGGCUGAGGGUAUGUACUAGUAGCUAUGUGUUUGAUCUCUCUCUCUCUCUCUCUCUCUCGUGUUCUUGAUUUGGCACGAUCUUGAUGUAUCGUGAGCUUUGCUAUUAUAGUUGGAUCUUAUGUUUCUUCCCCCCUCUACUCUCUUGUAAUGGAUUGAGUUUCCUCUUUGAAGUUAUCUUAUCGGAUUGAGUCUUUAAAGAUUUGAGAACACUUGAUGUAUGUCUUGCCAUGCGUAUCUGUGGUGACAAUGGGAUACCACGUGAUUCACUUGAUGUAUGUUUUGGUGAUCAACUUGCGGGUUCCGCCCAUGAACCUAUGCACAGGGGUUGGCACACGUUUUCGUCGUGAUUCUCUGGUAGAAACUUUGGGGCACUCUUUGACGUUCUAUGUGUUGGUUGAAUAGAUGAAUCUGAGAUUGUGUGACGCAUAUCGUAUAUUCAUACCCACGGGUACUUGAGGUGACAUUGGAGUAUCUAGGUGACAUUAGGGUUUUGGUUGAUUUGUGUCUUAAGGUGUUAUUCUAGUACGAACUCUAGGGCUGUUUGUGACACUUAUAGGAAUAGCCCAACGGAUUGAUUGGAAAGAAUAACUUUGAGGUGGUUUCGUACCCUACCAUAAUCUCUUCGUUCAUUCUCCGCUAUUAGUGACUUUGGAGUGACUCUUUGUUGCAUUUUGAGGGAUGGUUAUGUGAUCCAAUUAUGUUAUCCUUGUUGAGGGAACUUACACUUGUGAAAGUAUGAACCCUAGGCCUUGUUUCCUAUCAUUGCAAUACCGUUUAUGCUCACUUUUAUCACUUGCUACCUUGCUGUUUUUAUAUUUUCAGAUUACAAAAAACUAUUAUCUACUAUCCAUAUACCACUUGUAUAACCAUCUCUUCUCCAAAAUAGUGCACCUAUACAAUUUACCAUUGUAUCAGGUGUGUUGGGGACACAAGAGACUCUUUGUUAUUUGGUUGCAGGGUUGCUUGAGAGAGACCAUCUUCAUCCUACACCUCCUACGGAUUGAUAAACCUUAGAUCAUCCACUUGAGGGAAAUUUGUUACUGUCCUACAAACCUCUGCACUUGGAGGCCCAACAACGUCUACAAGAAGAAGGUUGUGUAGUAGACAUCAAUGGCUCGCCCGACACCUCGGCCAAGAGAAACCGAAGUCGAUGGCAGCCCUUACGGCACUUAUGACCCGCUUUUGCGCGGGCGAAGUUAGCUGGCUAGCUCAUAGUAAUAAGAGAACAAGCGAACCUGGCACCGCGGAAGCCAAGAAUAGCAACGACAAGCCCCGAGACAACAGACACAAGCGUUGAAACAACGGUGACAAUACCGACGACAUGGCGGUCAACGCCGGAUUCAGUGGGUCCAAGUCCGGCCAGCGGAAGAAGCCAUUCAAGAGGAACAAUUCGGGCCCAUACAGCUUGGACCGCAUACUCGAUCGCCCAUGCCAGAUACACGUCACUCCUGACAAACUAGCCAAUCACAACAACAGAGACUGUUGGGUUUUUAAACAGGCCGACAAGUUAAAUGCCGAGAACAAGGAGAAGGGGUCGCAAAGCAAAGACGAUGACGAGGAACCCUGGCCAUCGAACAUAGGGGGACAGAAGAAGUCCCCCCCCCCCCAAAUUAAAACGGUAAACNNNNNNNNNNNNNNNNNNNNNNNNNNNNNNNNNNNNNNNNNNNNNNNNNNNNNNNNNNNNNNNNNNNNNNNNNNNNNNNNNNNNNNNNNNNNNNNNNNNNNNNNNNNNNNNNNNNNNNNNNNNNNNNNNNNNNNNNNNNNNNNNNNNNNNNNNNNNNNNNNNNNNNNNNNNNNNNNNNNNNNNNNNNNNNNNNNNNNNNNNNNNNNNNNNNNNNNNNNNNNNNNNNNNNNNNNNNNNNNNNNNNNNNNNNNNNNNNNNNNNNNNNNNNNNNNNNNNNNNNNNNNNNNNNNNNNNNNNNNNNNNNNNNNNNNNNNNNNNNNNNNNNNNNNNNNNNNAAAACGGUAAACAUGAUAUACGCUACCCACAUACCCAAGAGAGAAUGCAAUCGCACACUCAGGGACGUCUACACGAUGGAGCCAGUCACCCCAAAGUUCAACCCAUGGUCUUCUUGCCCGAUCACUUUUGAUCGCAGGGACCAUCCGACCAGUAUCCGUCAUGGCGGUUCAGCCGCGCUGGUCCUCGACCCUAUCAUCGAUGAAUUUCACCUCACGCGAGUCCUCAUGGAUGGUGGUAGCAGCCUGAACCUGCUCUAUCAGGAUACAAUGCGCAAAAUGGGCAUUAAUCCAUCAAGAAUUAAGCCCACAAAGACUACCUUUAAAGGAGUCAUACAAGGUGUAGAGGCCCGUUGUAUGGGCUCAAUCACACUAGAGGUUGUCUUCGGAUCUCCGGACAAUUUCUGAAGCGAAGAGCUGAUCUUCGAUAUUGUCCCCUUUCGCAGCGGCUAUCACGCACUGCUCGGACGAACCGCAUUUGCAUGCUUCAACGUGGUGCCACACUAUGCUUAUCUUAAGCUCAAGAUGCCUGGCCCACGCGGCGUCAUAACAGUCAAUGGGAACACGGAACGCUCCCUCCGUACCGAGGAGCACACCACCGCGUUAGCAGUAGAAGUAGAGAGUGGCCUCUUCAAGCAGAACCUUAAUUCGCCGACCGAACUCCCGGACACUGUCAAACGAGUCCGGACUACUCCGCAGCAGGACAGACCGGCUCAUCAAGAGCUCGACUAGCAACUCGGCCUCCGUCCCCAUCCCAACCAAGAAGCAGCAUUCGUACCGCGUGUACAUAACUACACACUCAAAAUACCAUGGGCAUAGACGGAGGCAUAACUAUCUUGCGAUCCAUAAUACGGCUUGACCGCUCCUAGACACACAUACUUUCCAUUUUUCCAUUUUAUCCUUUUCAGGUCCUUUUUCCGCAGGUUUCUUCUGACGACCUGAUCAUCGGUCCUCUCGGCGGGACGGAUACACCAAGAUGGCAAGAAGCACUGGCGUACAAGGGAAUCCCUAGAUGGUCUUGAGGGAGUCCUGGAUUAAGGGGUCCUCGGGCGUCCGGCAUGUUAGCCAUGGGUCGGACUGAUGGGCUGUGAAGAUACGAAGACCGAAGGCUAUACUCGUGUCCAGAUGAGACUCUCCUUGGCGUGGAAGGCAAGCUUGACAACCGGAUAUGUAGAUUCCCUUCUUUGUAACCGACCUUGUGUAACCCUAGAUCCUCCUGGUGUCUAUAUAAACCGGAGGACUUAGUCUGGAUAGGACACCCAUUAUCAUAGCCAUACAAGCUAGACCUCUAGGGUUUAGCCAUUACGAUCUCGAGGUAGAUCAACUCUUGUAAUACUCAUACUCAUCAAUAUCAAUCAAGCAGGACGUAGGGUAUUACCUCCAUAGAGAGGGCCCGAACCUAGGUAAACAUCGUGUCCCUUGUCUCCUGUUACCAUCGACCUUAGACACACAGUUCGGGACCCCCUACCCGAGAUCCGCCGGUUUUGACACCGACAUUGGUGCUUUCAUUGAGAGUUCCACUGUGCUGUCGACAACAAGAUCGAUGUCUCGCCUUGUUUUCAAGGAUAAUAUUACCACCGGAGGAACGCUGGCUCCAGGCCAAACCCUCCCACUGGGCGGCUUUACCAUGACUGCCCGUUCAGCCAUUAAGCCGAUGAUGGCCUCUCGGGUCAUCAAAAACCCCCUUCUUAUCGACUCCGAAUACUCCAAGUAGAUGGAUCCAGUGGAGCUUUCGUCUUUAAACGAGCUCCAAGAUCGCAUCGCCGCCCUGGGGGUCGCUACAGACUACGAUCAGAUUGGUCUUAAACCCGAUCAGAGAGAAAUCAAAUCUCCGCCGAUCACCCACCAGAUAGCGGUAGUCGAGGAACGGGUCGAUAACUCUUCCUCCAUAUUAAGGAUGGACUAUGUAUGGAUCUCCGGUCUCGAAGAGCCGAACACCUACCCACGAGGUGAAGCGUCCUGCCCUCUGAACAUAGAAUCGGAUGACAGGCCUAAGAAAUCAGCGGACACACCAGAGCCCGAUCUGUUAAGUUCGGAAGACCUUCAAACUUCGGAUCCAAAACUGGGGCAGGGUUCAGAUUCAAAUCCACCCACCCACCCGAAUACAAGCGCUCCCACGAGCAUAAAACAGCAGUCUCAAGAAGCGGUCCACCACUUCUAGGCCAGAUUCCUUGUCAAAAACAAGAUUAAAGAUUGCCGCGACGAGGAAGCGAUCUCAGUGUUCCGUGACAAUUGCAGGGACGAAGGAAUCCUCAACGCAAUUAACCACCGUCGCAUCCUACACUUUGAUGACUAGGCAACCAUCGUACAGAAGUACAAUGCAAUGGGAAGCGUUUGGAAAACUCAAGCAGCUCGUUGGGAAUCAUCGGUCCCCACUCAACCCUUCAUUCAGGCGAAAAGGGCGCACCCUUGCAACACGCCCGGUUCAAUAGUAAAGAAAUACAAGUCCAGUAUGUGGCGCGAAACCUUUCUAGAAGGAUGGCUCGAUGGGCCAUGCAAAAUACACGCAACACCGGAUACCAUACCAACACAUAGCCUUAGAGCAUGUUGGAUACUCCGGCAAGUGGCAAAGAGCGGCGAGGAUAUCCUCACCAAGAAUAACCCAGAACAACACCCCCAGAGGACAACGACUCCAAAGUACUAACGGUCUUCGAGACAUUCGCCUCCAACAAAAGGCGCAAGAGAGCACUACGCGGACUCGCUGAAGUCUAUCAAAUAGAAGCAAUAAACCCUUGGAACGACACGGCUAUUACUUUUAAUGCCAGGGACGAACCAAAAUACAGGACAGUCCGAGCAUCAGCCGCCUUGGUCCUCAGUCCAAUUGUGGACGGCUUUCGGCUAACCAAGGUCCUUAUGGAUGGCGGCAGUGGACUAAACCUCAUCUACGAAGUUACACUCCACAAAAUGGCAAUAGACAGGGGCCGCAUUGAGCAAAGCAAUACGACCUUCCGAGGAAUUAUCCCCAGUCGGGAGGCGCGGUGUGCGGGAAAAAUAACACUCGACGUGGUAUUCAGCACGCCGGAGAAUUAUCGGUCCGAAGAAAUAACCUUCCAAGUGUCCCCUUUCAACAGCGGGUAUCACGCCCUCUUAGGGCGAAAUGCAUUUACGUGCUUCCAAGCGGUACCCCAUUACGGAUACAUGAAGCUUAAGAUGCCUGGGCCCAACCGUAUAAUCACUCUAGCUAGUGAUCCGGACAUAGCACUCCGCGCCGAGAAUAAGACCGCAUCCUUGGCCCUUGAGGCAUUAUCUGAAGCCCUCACGGCUGAAGAACUAGCCGCGCUGCGCUCUACGAUGGACAGGGAUGAUGUCGUCCUAGAUAAACGACCCAAAUCCACCUCCUUCAAAUCAACAGAAGAAAUAGUCAAAUUCCAAGUCCAUCCAAUGGACCCAAGAAGACAGCAUCCAUCGGAGCAUAAUUAGAUCCAACGGUUGACGCCGCGCUAUGAGAGUUCCUGCACGAAAAUUGGGGUAUAUUCGCCUGGAACCCUUCUGAUAUGUCAGGAAUCCCACGCGAGCUGGCCGAACACAGCCUCAAUAUAUUAAAAGGAUAUAAAACGGUCAAGCAAACACUGUGGUGCUUUUCCAAACCCAAACGUCAAGCUAUGGGGGAGGAGCUAGCCAACUUAAUCGAGGCCGGAUUCAUCAGAGAAAUAAAGCAUCCGGACUGGCUGGCAAACCUGGUGAUGGUACUAAAGAAGGACAAAUCCUGGCAGUUGUGCGUCGAUUUUAAAGACCUCAAUAAGGCUUGCCCUAAGGAUCCCUUCCCCCUCCCCCGCGUUGAUCAAAUCAUUGAUGCUACCGCAGGACACGACUCACUGUGUUCCUGGAUGCAUAUUUCGGAUACCAUCAAAUCAAAAUGAAGGAGUCCGAUCAAGCUGCAACAACAUUCAUUACCCCAUAUGGGCCAUUUUGCUUCAACAUCAUGCCCUUCGGGCUCAAGAACGCCGGCGCCACAUACCAACGCAUGAUUCAAACAUGCCUGGAGAAGCAAAUCAGCAAGACAGUUGAAGCUUACGUGGACGAUGUCGUCAUCAAAACCAGGCGCGUCGAAACAUUAAUAGACGAUUUACGUCUCACAUUCGAUAACCUCCGUGCGUAUGACAUCAAGCUCAAUCCGGAAAAGUGCGUUUUCAGCGUCCCCGCCGGAAAACUGCUGGGCUUCAUCAUUUCCAAUAUAGGAAUUGAAGCAAAUCUAGCCAAAAUCCGAGCUUUAUCGCAAUUGGCUACGCCAGCAGACCUUAAACAAGUUCAAAAACUCGCGGGCUGCGUGGCAGCUCUAAGCUGCUUCAUCUCCAAAUUGGGAGAAAAGGCACUACCACACUAUCGCCUUUUACGGCGAACAGAUCACUUCGAGUGGACGGACGCGGCAACAGCCGGACUGGAGGAAAUGAAAAUCCUUCUUGCGAGCAAUCCAAUCCUGGCUGCACCAAACUCCGGCGAACCGAUGUUAUUAUACAUAUCGGCAACACAUCAGGUGGUGAGCGCCGUACUCGUCAUUGAACGAGAACAGGACGGACAAAAAUUCCCGCUUCAGAAGCCAGUAUACUACGUAUCCACUAUCCUUACACCAUGCAAAUCCCGCUACCCCCAUUAUCAAAAGAUAGCAUACGCGGUCUUCAUGGCAUCCUGAAAGCUCCGUCACUACUUCCAGGAGUGUUCGAUUAUGGUGGCUUCCGAAGUACCACUCAAUGACAUCAUAAAUAACCGCGAUGCCACGGGCCGGAUUGCCAAAUGGGCCAUUGAGCUCCUCCCAUUCGACAUUACAUACAAACCACGACGAGGUAUUAAGUCCCAAGUACUGGUUGACUUCGUCGCCGAAUGGACAGAGGCCGAACUCCCUAAAGAGUACGACACAUAUUCCAAUUGGGUUAUGUAUUUCGAUGGCUCCAAAGUGCUGGCAGGGAUAGGAGCGGGCGUCGUUUUAACGUCCCCUACUGGAGACGUCGUUCAGUACGUACUCCAAAUACUAUACACAGACUCCAAUAACGCAGGCGAAUAUGAGGCCUUAUUACAUGGUCUCCGGAUGGCCGUCUCCAUGGGCAUACAACGCUCAGAGGUGCGCGGGGACUCAAACCUUGCAAUAUCUCAAAUAAAUGGAGACUUCGACGCCAAAGAUCCGAAGAUGGCAGCUUAUCAUAACGCAAUCAUAAAAAUGUUGGCCUGGUUAGAAGGGCUCGAGUUCCAUCAUGUGGCUCGGGGAGGUAAUCAAGCGGCGGACGUUCUUGCUCGUAUCAGCGCCAAGCGCGACCCUAUCCCACCUAAUAUCUUUCUGGAAAGGCUUUUUAAGCCAUCUGUGGUGUUGAAGGGGGAAAACAACAACACUAGUCCAGAUCUGAACAUAACCCCAGAUUUCAAAAACACCGACACCAUCGGAGGCUCAACCACCGAAAUAACACCAUCGACGCAUCUAUUCAUGGCAGUCAUUGCCCCAUGGACCGAACCCUUCCUGGCCUACCUUAACAGGAAGGAGCUUCCUGAGGACCAGAAUGAGGCCCGCUGUUUUUCCGAUGUUCGAAGGCCUACAAGGUUCAUGAUGGAGAACUCUAUAAGAAAAGCGCUACCGGAGUACUUCAAAGAUGUAUCUCCGAGGAAGUGGGGCGGAAGCUCUUGGCCGAGAUUCACGCCAGGCUUGGCGGUCACCACGCCGCAGCUCGGGCCUGACACGUCUCCAACGUAUCUAUAAUUUUUGAUUUCCCCAUGCUAUUAUAUUAUCUAUUUUGGAUGUUAAUGGGCUUUAUUUUACACUUUUAUAUCAUUUUUGGGACUAACCUACUAACCGGAGGCCCAACCCAAAUUGCUAUUUUUUUUGCCUAUUUUAGGGUUUCGAAGAAAAGGAAUAUCAAACGGAGUCCAAACGGAAUGAAACCUUACGGAACGUGAUUUUCUCAACAAACAUGAUCCAUGAGACUUGGAGUGGCCAUCAAGAAACAAGGGAGGAAGGCACGAGGCAGGGGACGCGCCCUCCACCUUCGUGGGCCCUCCGUUGCUCCACCGACGUACAUCUUCCUCCUAUAUAUAUCCACGUACCACCCAAAUAUCCAGGAGCACCACGAAAACCUAAUUCCACCGCCGCAACCUUCUGUACUCGAGAGAUCCCAUCUCGGGGCCUUUUCUGGAGCUCCACCGGAGGGGGCAUUGAUCACGGAGGGCCUCUACAUCAACUCCAUGGCCUCUCCGGUGAUGUGUGAGUAGUUUACUUCAGACCUACGGGUCCAUAGUUAUUAGCUAGAUGGCUUCUUCUCUCUCUUUGGAUCUCAAUACAAAGUUCUCCUCGAUUUUCUUGGAGAUCUAUUCGAUGUAAUCUUCUUUUGCGGUGUGUUUGUCGAGAUCCGAUGAAUUGUGGGUUUAUGAUUCAAAUUAUCUAUGAACAAUAUUUGAUUCUCCUCUGAAUUCUUUAUGUAUGAUUGGUUUAUCUUUGCAAGUCUCUUCGAAUUAUCAGUUUGGUUUGGCCUACUAGAUUGAUCUUUCUUGCAAUGGGAGAAGUACUUAGCUUUGGGUUCAAUCUUGCGGUCUUCGAUCCCAGUGACAGAAAGGGAACCGAUACGUAUUGUAUUGUUGCCAUCGAGGAUAAAAAGAUGGGGUUUAUAUCAUAUUGCAUGAGUUUAUCCUUCUACAUCAUAUCAUCUUCCUUAAAGCAUUACUCUGUUCUCUUGAACUUAAUACUCUAGAUGCAUGCUGGAUAGCGGUCGAUGUGUGGAGUAAUAGCAGUAGAUGCAGAAUCGUUUUGGUCUACUUGUCUCAGACGUGAUGCCUAUAUACAUGAUCAUACCUAGAUAUUCUCAUAACUAUGCUCAAUUCUAUCAAUUGCUCGACAAUAAUUCGUUUACCCACCGUAAUACUUAUGCUCUUGAGAGAAGCCACUAGUGAAACCUAUGGCCCCCGAAUCUAUCUUCCAUCAUAUUAAUCUUCCAACACUUAGUUAUUUCCUUUGCCGUUUAUUUUACUUUGCAUCUUUAUUUCUCUUUAUCAUAAAAAUACCAAAAAUAUUAUCUUAUCAUAUCUAUCAGAUCUCACUCUCGUAAGUGACCGAGAAGGGCUUGACAACCCCUUUAUCGCGUUGGUUGCGAGGUUCUUAUUUGUUUGUGUAGGUGCGUGGGACUUGAGCGUGAUCUCCUACUGGAUUGUUACCUUGGUUCUCAAAAACUGAGGGAAAUACUUACGCUGCUUUACUACAUCACCCUUUCCUCUUCAAGGGAAAACCAACGCAGUGCUCAAGCGGUAGCAAGAAGGAUUUCUGGCGCCGUUGCCGGGGAGAUUCGCGCCAAGUCAAGUCAAGAUUUGACUCCCACAAUGAGUCAUUUCUGGCGCCAUUACCAAGUCAAAAUAUACCAAGUACCCAUCACAGACUCUUAUCCCUCGCAUUACAUUAUUUGCCAUUUGCCUCUUGUUUUCCUCUCCCCCACUUCACCCUUGCCGUUUUAUUCACCCUCUCUCUCUCUCCAUCCCCUUCUCUUUCCCUAUUUGCCUCUUUUUGCCUGUUUCUUGUUUGUUUGUGUGUUGGAUUACUUGCCUGUCACGAUGGCUCAAGAUAAUACUAAAUUGUGUGACUUUGCCAAUACCAACAACAAUGAUUUUAUUAGCACUCCGAUUGCUCCUCUUAUCGAUGCUAAAUCUUGUGAAAUUAAUACUGCUUUGCUGAAUCUUGUCAUGAAAGAUCCGUUUUCUGGCCUUCCUAGUGAAGAUGCCGCUACCCAUCUAAACAACUUUAUUGAUUUGUGUGAUAUGCAAAAGAAGAAAGAUGCGGAUAUUGAUAUUGUUAAAUUGAAGCUAUUUCCAUUUUCGCUUAGAGAUCGUGCUAAAGCUUGGUUUUUGUCUUUGCCUAAAAAUAGUAUUGAUUCAUGGAAUAAAUGCAAAGAUGCUUUUAUCUCUAAGUAUUUUCCUCCCGCUAAGAUCAUCUCUCUUAGAAACGAUAUUAUGAAUUUUAAGCAACUUGAUCAUGAACAUGUUGCACAAUCUUGGGAGAGGAUGAAACCAAUGAUAUGUAAUUGCCCAUCACAUGGUUUGAAUCUUUGGAUGAUUAUACAAAACUUUUCUGACGGAUUGAAUUCUGCUUCUAGAAAUCUUUUAGAUUCGGCCGCGGGAGCCACUUUUAUGGAAAUCACUUUAGGAGAAGCUACCAAACUCCUAGACAAUAUUAUGGUUAAUUAUUCUCAAUGGCACACCGAAAGAUCUACGAAUAAAAAAGUGCAUGCAAUUGAAGAGAUUAAUGUUUUGAGUGGAAAGAUGGAUGAACUUAUGAAAUUGUUUGCUAAUAAGAGUGCUCCUACUGAUCCUAAUGAUAUGCCUUUGUCUACCUUUAUUGAGGAUAAUAAUGAAUCUAUGGAUGAGAAUUUUGUUGGUAGGAACAAUUUUGGUAAUAACGCGUAUAGAGGUAAUUUUAAUUCUAGGCCGUUUCCUAGUAAUUCCUAUAAUAAUUAUGGUAAUUCCUACAAAAAUUCCUAUGGAAAUUAUAAUAAGAUGCCUCUGAUUUUGAAUCUAAUAUUAAAUAAUUUAUCACUUCGCAAAAGAGUUUCAAUGCUUUGAUUGAAGAAAAAUUGCUUAAGAUUGAUGAGUUGGCUAGGAACGUUGAUAGAAUUUCUGUUGAUGUUGAUUAUUUGAAACUUAGAUAUAUUCCACAUAAACAUGAUAUCAAUGAGUCUCUCAAAUCCAUUGGAAUUUCCAUUGAUGAGUGCAAAGAAAGAACCGCUAGGAUGCGUGCUAAGAAAUAUUGCUUUAUAAAAGCGUGUUCUUCUAGUUUUCAUGAUAAUAAGGAUGAAGAUCUAAAUGUUAUUGAUGUGUCUCCUAUUAAAUCUUUGUUUUGCAAUAUGAAUCUUGAUAAUUAUGGGGCUGAAGAUGAGCCACCUUUACCUAGAAGGCGUUCCAAAAAUUCGGAGUCUUUAGAUUUUGAUGCUAAAAUUGUUAAAAGUGGGAUUGACGAGGUCAAAACUUUAAAUAUCAAUGAACCCACUAUUUUGGAUUUCAAGGAAUUUAAUUAUCAUAAUUGCUCUUGGAUAGAUUGUAUUUCCUUAUUGCAAUCUGUGCUAAAUUGUCCUCAUGCUUAUAGUCAAAAUAAAGCUUUUAUUAAACAUAUCGUUGACGCUUUGAUGCAAUCUUAUGAAGAAAAACUUGAGUUGUAAGUUUCUAUCCCUAGAAAACUUUAUGAUGAGUGGGAACCUACAAUAAAAAUUAAAAUUAAAGAUCAUGAGUGCUAUGCUUUGUGUGAUUUGGGUGCUAGUGUUUCCACGAUUCCAAAAAAUUUGUGUGAUUUACUAGGUUUCCGUGAUUUUGAUGAUUGUUCUUUAAACUUGCACCUUGCGGAUUCCAAUAUUAAGAAACCUAUGGGAAGAAUUAAUGAUGUUCUUAUUGUUGAAAAUAGGAACUAUGUGACCGUAGAUUUCAUUGUUCUUGAUAUAGAUUGCAAUUCCUCAUGUCCUAUUAUUCUUGGUAGACCUUUCCUUAGAACGAUUGGUGCAAUUAUUGAUAUGAAGGAAGGGAAUAUGAGAUUCCAAUUUCCGUUAAGGAAAGGCAUGGAACACUUCCCUAGAAAGAAAAUUAAAUUACCUUAUGAAUCUAUUAUGAGAGCCACUUAUGGUUUACUUACCAAACAUGGCAAUACCUAGAUCUAUCUUCGCUUUAUGCCUAGCUAGGGGCGUUAAACGAUAGCGCUUGUUGGGAGGCAACCCAAUUUUAUUUUUAUUCCUUGAUUUUUCUCCUGUUUAGUAAUAAAUAAUUUAUCUAGCCUCUUUUUUGAUUGUGUUUUUAUGUGUUUAAUUAGUGUUUGUGCCAAGUAGAACUGUUGGGAAGACUUGGGGAAAGUCCUUUUGAUCUUGCUGUAAAAAACAGAAACGUUAGCGCUCACGAGAAUUGCUGCCAUUUUUAUUUGGAAGGUGCUAUUUAGUUAAUUAUUUUUUCAGAUGAUUAAUAAAUAAAUUCCUCGCGUCCAGCAAUUUAUUUUAGAAUUUUUGGGGUUCCAAAACUUGCGUUAGCUACAGAUUACUACAGACUGUUCUGUUUUUGACAGAUUCUGUUUUUCUUGUGUUGUUUGCUUAUUUUGACGAAUCUAUGGCUAGUAAAAGAAUUGAUAAAAUAUAGAGAAGUUGGAAUACAGUAGGUUUAACACCAAUAUAAAUAAAGAAUGAGUUCAUUACAGUACCUUAAAAUGGUGUUUUGUUUUCUUUCGCUAACGGAGCUCACGAGAUUUUCUAUUUUGAGUUUUGUGUUGUGAAGUUUUCAAGUUUUGGGGUAAAGAUUUGAUGGAUUAUGGAACAAAGAGUGGCAAGAUCCUAAGCUUGGGGAUGCCCAUGGCACCCCAAGGUAAAACUCAAGGACACCAAAAAUCCUAAGCUUGGGGAUGCCCCGGAAGUCAUCCCCUCUUUCGUCUUCGUCUAUCGGUAACUUUACUUGGAGCUAUAUUUUUAUUCACCACAUGGUAUGUGUUUUGCUUGGAGCGUCUUGUAUGAUUUGAGUCUUUUCUUUUUAGUUUACCACAAUCAUCCUUGCUGUACACACCUUUUGAGAGAGACUCACAUGAUUUGAAAUCUAUUAGAAUACUCUAUGUGCUUCACUUAUAUCUUUUGAGCUACAUAGUUUUUGCUCUAGUGCUUCACUUAUAUCUUUUAGAGCAUGGUGGUGGACUUGUUUUAUAGAAACUAUUGUUCUCUCAUGCUUCACUUAUAUUAUUUUGAGAGUCCUUUAGAACAACAUGGAAAUAAUAAAAACUUUCAUAUAAGUGCAUUGAAUACCAUGAGAAGUUUGAUACUUGAUAAUUGUUUUGAGAUAUGGAGAUGGUGAUGUUAGAGUCAUGCUAGUUGAGUAGUUGUGAAUUUGAGAAAUACUUGUGUUGAAGUUUGUGAUUCCCGUAGCAUGCAUGUAUGGUGAACCGUUAUGUGAAGAAGUCGGAGCAUGAUUUAUUUAUUGAUUGUCUUCCUUAUGAGUGGUGGUCGGGGACGAGCGAUGGUCUUUUCCUACCAAUCUAUCCCCCUAGGAGCAUGCGCGUAAUGCUUUGUUUCGAUAACUAAUUGAUUUUUGCAAUAAGUAUGUGAGUUCUUUAUGACUAAUGUUGAGUCCAUGGAUUAUACACACUCUCACCCUUCCACCAUUUCUAGCCUCUCUAGUAUCGCGCAACUUUCGCCGGUACCAUAAACCCACCAUAUACCUUCCUCAAAACAGCCACCAUACCUACCUAUUAUGGCAUUUCCAUAGCCAUUCUAAGAUAUAUUGCCAUGCAACUUUCCAUCGUUCCAUUAUUAUGACAUGCUUUAUCAUUGUCAUAUUGCUUGCAUGAUCAUGUAGUUGACAUCGUAUUUGUGGCAAAGCCACCAUUCAUAAUUCUUUCAUACAUGUCACUCAUGCAUCAUUGCACAUCCCGGUACACCGCUGGAGGCAUUCACAUGGAGUCAUAUUUUGUUCUAAGUAUUGAGUUGUAAUUCUUGAGUUGUAAGUAAAUAAAGUGUGAUGAUCAUCAUUAUUAGAGCAUUGUCCCGGUGAGGAAAGGAUGAUGGAGACUAUGAUUCCCCCACAAGUCGGGAUGAGACUCCGGACGAAAAAAGGCCAAAAAAGAGAAAGAAGGCCCAAAUAAAAAAAUGAGAGAAAAAGAGAGAAUGGACAAUGUCACUAUCCUUUUUGCACACUUGUGCUUCAAAGUAGCACCAUGUUCUUCAUAUAGAGAGCCUCCUAUGAUAACACUUUCAUAUACUAGUGGGAAUUUUUCAUUAUAGAACUUGGCUUAUAUAUUCCAAUGAUGGGCUUCCUCAAAAUGCCCUAGGUCUUCAUGAGCAAGAAAGUUGGAUGCACACCCACUUAGUUUCUUUUGUUGAGCUUUCAUAUAGUUAUAACUCUAGUGCAUCCGUUGCAUGGCAAUCACUACUCACUCACAUUGAUAUCUAUUAAUGGGCAUCUCCAUAGCCCGUUGAUACGACUAGUCGAUGUGAGACUAUCUUCUCCUUUUUGUCUUCUCCACAACCACCAUUCUAUUCCACCAUAGUGCUAUAUCCAUGGCUCACACUCAUAUAUUGCGUGAAGAUUGAAAAAGUUUGAGAACAUCAAAAGUAUGAAACAAUUGCUUGGCUUGUCAUCGGGGUUGUGCAUGAUUUAAAUAUUUUGUGUGGUGAAGAUAGAGCAUAGCCAGACUAUAUGAUUUUGUAGGGAUACCUUUCUUUGGCCAUGUUAUUCGAGAAGACAUAAUUGCUUAGUUAGUAUGCUUGAAGUAUUAUUAUGUUUAUGUCAAUAUUAAACCUUUAUCUUGAAUCUUAUGGAUCUGAACAUUCAUGCCACUAUAAAGAAAAAUUACAUUGAGAAAUAUGUUAGAAAGCAUUACACAUCAAAAAUUCUUCUUUUAUCAUUUACCUACUCGAGGACGAGCAGGAAUUAAGCUUGGGGAUGCUUGAUACGUCUCCAACGUAUCUAUAUUUUUUGAUUGCUCCAUGCUAUUAUAUUAUCUAUUCUGGAUGUUAAUGGGCUUUAUUUUACACUUUUAUAUCAUUUUUUGGACUAACCUACUUACCGGAGGCCCAGGCCAAAUUGUUGUUUUUUUGCCUAUUUUAGGUUUCGAAGAAAAGGAAUAUCAAACGGAGUCCAAACAGAAUGAAACCUAUGGGAACGUGAUUUUCUCAACAAACGUGAUCCAGGAGACUUGGAGUGGCCGUCAAGAAACAAGGGAGGAAGGCACGAGGCAGGGGGCGCGCCUACCCCCCUGGGCGUGCCCUCCACCCUCAUGGGCCCUCUGUUGCUCCACCGACGUACUUAUUCCUCCUAUAUAUAUCCACGUACCCCCCCAAACAUCCAGGAGCACCACAAAAACCUAAUUCCACCACCGCAACCUUCUGUACUCGAGAGAUCCCAUCUCGGGGCCUUUUCCGGAGAUCCACCGGAGGGGGCAUUGAUCACGGAGGGCCUCUACAUCAACUCCAUGGCCUCUCCGGUGAUGUGUGAGUAGUUUACUUCAGACCUACGGGUCCAUAGUUAUUAGCUAGAUGGCUUCUUCUCUCUCUUUGGAUCUCAAUACAAAGUUCUCCUCGAUUUUCUUGGAGAUCUAUUCGAUGUAAUCUUCUUUUGCGGUGUGUUUGUCGAGAUCCGAUGAAUUGUGGGUUUAUGAUCCAGAUUAUCUAUGAACAAUAUUUGAUUCUCCUCUGAAUUCUUUAUGUAUGAUUGGUUUAUAUUUGCAAGUCUCUUCGAAUUAUCAGUUUGGUUUGGCCUACUAGAUUGAUCUUUCUUGCAAUGGGAGAAGUGCUUAGCUUUUGGUUCAAUCUUGCAGUGUUCGAUCCCAGUGACAGAAAGGGAACCGAUAUGUAUUGUAUUGUUGCCAUCGAGGAUAAAAAGAUGGGGUUUAUAUCAUAUUGCAUGAGUUUAUCCCUCUACAUCACAUCAUCUUCCUUAAAGCAUUACUCUGUUCUCUUGAACUUAAUACUCUAGAUGCAUGCUGGAUAGCGGUCGAUGUGUGGAGUAAUAGUAGUAGAUGCAGAAUCGUUUCGGUCUACUUGUCUCAGACAUGAUGCCUAUAUACAUGAUCAUACCUAGAUAUUCUCAUAACUAUGCUCAAUUCUAUCAAUUGCUCAAUAGUAAUUCGUUUACCCACCGUAAUACUUAUGCUCUUGAGAGAAGCCACUAGUGAAACCUAUGGCCCUCGAGUCUAUCUUCUAUCAUAUUAAUAUUCCAAUACUUAGUUAUUUCCUUUGCCGUCUAUUUUACUUUGCAUAUUUAUUUCUCUUUAUCAUAAAAAUACCAAAAAUAUUAUCUUAUCAUAUCUAUCAGAUCUCACUCUCGUAAGUGACCGAGAAGGGCUUGACAACCCCUUUAUCGCGUUGGUUGCGAGGUUAUUAUUUGUUUGUGUAGGUGCGUGGGACUUGAGUGUGAUCUCCUACUGGAUUGAUACCUUGGUUCUCAAAAACUAAGGGAAAUACUUACGCUGCUUUACUGCAUCACCCUUUCCUCUUCAAGGGAAAACCAACGCAGUGCUCAAGAGGUAGCAGGGCCCUUGUUAGCAAGGCCUUCCGUAUAGGGUUUUAUUGGCCGACGGCCCGAGCAGAUGCACAUGACCUUGUCCAACAUUGCGUCAGAUGCCAACUCUUCGCCAAUCAAAGCCAUAUGCCCCCACAGCCUUACAAACAAUCCCCAUCACUUGGCCUUUUGCGGUCGGACCCCUUAAAGGAGGAAGCCAUAAGAGAAAGUACCUGCUGGUCAUGGUGGAUAAAUUCACUAAGUGGAUAGAGGCCAAACCAUUCAAAACGGACGAAGCGGGGCCGAUAAUAUAUUUCAUAUCCGGCAUGGUACACCGUUAUGGUGUUCCACACAUCAUAAUAACCGAUAAUGGCUCUAAUUUCACAGUAGAUGAAGUGAAAACUUGGUGUGCUAAUCUCGGUAUUAAACUCGAUUACGCCUCGGUCUACCACCCGCAGACAAACGAUCAAGUCGAACAGGCGAAUGGUCUUAUUAUGGGUGGCAUCAAACCUAGACUAGUGCAGUCUUUGAAAGAAUAAGAUAAGCACUGGGUGGAGGAACUUGACUCCGUACUCUGGGGGCUGCGGACCACGCCCAACCGCACCACUGUAUAUACACAUUUCUUCAUGGUGUACGGUGCAGAAGCAGUGUUACCCUGUGAUAUUAUUGAUGAAUCACCUCAAGUGCGCAUGUACGAAGAGAGAGAAGCCGAGCUUGAUUGGCAGGACAUCCUAGAUGUCUUGGAGGAGGAGCGCGACGUCGCAAAAGCCCGUUCCACAUUUAUCAGCACCAGGCUCGCAGGUAUCAAAGCAGAGAAGUGCGGGCCAAGACUUAUAACAUUGGUGAACUCGCUCUACGCCUGACGGAGAAGAAAAAGGACAAGCUCAGGCCCAAGUGGGAGGGUCCAUUCUUCAUUGGCGAGGUUCUCAUCGGAGGAGCGUACCGCCUGCGUGAUGCGUCAGACAAUCACCUGGAGCCGAACCCCUGGAAUGCGGCCAGACUACGACGAUUUUAUGCCUAGCGCUAAACUACUGUGUUCGUCUUCUCCCUCCUGUUACUAACGUUAUUUUUUCUCUAUUUUCGUUUUUUAUCUUUUUUCUUUCGUUUUGCUCUUUAGCCUUACGGUUUCAGUACGGCUAGACCGUCCUUACCUGAUGUGUACACCUCUGCAUAUGUGCGUUCAUUAUACCUGGCGGCUUCUCGUAUAGAAGCUUGCUAUUAUUCUUUGAGCAUCAAGCUCACCACAUAUGCGUUUUUCUAUAUGUACCUUUUCUUCGCCACUAUAUGCAUCAAUAUGACCUAAGUUUUGGCCAAGCUAGGUUGCCUGGCUCCUGUGCUUAUGCCCUACGUUCCUGUUAGUUCGGCUAGGGCAUAAAGGGAGCACCUCUGCGAUUGUUACUGCCGGGUCAUUCGGAUGUGUACCUCAGACUGGGUGAAGCCGAAAGCUAGCGUUCUUAAGGGAAUAUUCGGUCGGCGAAUUAAACAUGUUUUCGCAUUCACUUCAUUGUGAAACCCCAGAAGUUACUUACUCUGCGAUUUUUUCAAUCACAGUUCGGACAUGCACAUUAAACGCAUGCACACCCAGGGAAAGGAACCCUUAACGGAACUAUUCUCUCUGGAAGAUGUUUCUUACAUAAUGUAAUAUAACAUAACUAGUCGGAUACACAUUGUCUGUUCAAGCAACUAUGACCCCUACGCCUGGUUCCCAUGCAUACCCCGGUAUAUUCUGCCGUAAGGGUAUUCGGAAACACUAUGCACCUUCGGGUCUAGAGGUCGAAGCGAAAAGGUCGGCCAUGACAAUUGUUUUAUUAUCCAGUUAGAAGGAAAGUACAUAGUCACCUAGGACUCAAAAACUUCCUCCUCUAUACCGUCCAACAGGUGGUCUAAUUUACAAUCCUGUUGGGAGUAUCUAGCAGCCACCUCUACUUGGCCAUAUACUAAACUAACGGGAAUUUCUUCCCCAUUUAACCCUACCGGUCCGACCCGGGCCAUGUGAUUCGGAUCCAGCUGAGUAUAUCGUGUUUUUAUCAUGGCCCAGGCUUCUCGCACACCCUCCUGGCAGGCCGAUAUCUUCCACAGCCGGAUACGCCGCCACGCUCCCUUGAACAGCUCUACAAGCUUCUCCAUACUCCCUAGAGGGGAGUCGGAUGGCCAUAAGGCCUUGGCUAUACUCCGCAUUGCCAUCUGCGACAACUCUUGCAGAAGAUCACUUGAUGAUCCGGACACCUCCUCUUCAGGACGACCCGUCAAUAUACCUGCGAUCACUGCUAUAUCAGCUACUGUUACUUCCAAAAUAUUAUAAUAUAAAUGCGGUCACAUAUUGAAUAUGCCGCCUCGCAGUUUUUUGUUGUCCUUCACGGAGUCAGCUAGCUGAGCUCGCACGUCUUUCAGUUCUUUUCCCAGUUUGGUGUUCGAAUCCUGGAGCUUCUUUUUCUCCUGAACGACUUUUGUUAACACAAGCUCGCCCGCUGCUAGCAGUUUUUUGGCUUCGUGUUCUUCGCCUCGAGCGGCGUCCAGCUGCUCCCGCAGUUGGUCUAACGAUCCAAUACAAUGAUAAGCAACCGGAUUAGCAUUAUUAGUAUACAAUUAUGAUUUCUCGAUGGAGGGGAACAUUACCGGGGGAUGCCUUCUUGGACUUCUCCAGUUCGGCAUUGGCAAUAGACAUCUGGCGCUGACACUCUUCUAGUUCCUGAGUUAACAUGAUGUUCUUCUCUGUAAGCACCUGGUUGUACAUUGAUCCUUAAAUCAGUUGUUUCAACUACUUUAAGUCUCGGGGGCUACUGGUAUAUGGUUAUCAUAGUCAGACAAAACAAACUUACCUGCACAUCUUUUAAAUGUUGUUUUGUGGAUCUAUUAAGCCCAUCUCGAGCAGCUCGGAUAUACGCAUCGGCAGAGUUGAAGGCGUUAAAUGACUCUUCUGAAAAGCCAGGAUUACUUACGCAUGAAGUGAUGUCUACUACACAACCUUCUUCUUGUAGACGUUGUUGGGCCUCCAAGUGCAGAGGUUUGUAGGACAGUAGCAAAUUUCCCUCAAGUGGAUGACCUAAGGUUUAUCAAUCUGUGGGAGGCGUAGGAUGAAGAUGGUCUCUCUCAAGCAACCAUGCAACCAAAUAACAAAGAGUCUCUUGUGUUCCCAACACACCCAAUACAAUGGUAAAUUGUAUAGGUGCACUAGUUCGGCGAAGAGAUGGUGAUACAAGUGCAAUAUGGAUAGUAGAUAAUGGUUUUUGUAAUAUGAAAAUAUAAAAACAGCAAGGUAACUAAUGAUAAAAGUGAGCACAAACAGUAUUGCAAUGCGUUGAAACAAGGCCUAGAGUUCAUACUUUCACUAGUGCAAGUUCUCUCAACAAUAAUAACAUAAUUGGAUCAUAUAACUAUCCCUCAACAUGCAACAAAGAGUCACUCCAAAGUCACUAAUAGCGGAGAACAAACGAAGAGAUUAUGGUAGGGUACGAAACCACCUCAAAGUUAUUCUUUCCAAUCAAUCCGUUGGGCUAUUCCUAUAAGUGUCACAAACAGCCCUAGAGUUCGUACUAGAAUAACACCUUAAGACACAAAUCAACCAAAACCCUAAUGUUACCUAGAUACUCCAAUGUCACCUCAAGUAUCCGUGGGUAUGAUUAUAUGAUAUGCAUCACACAAUCUCAGAUUCAUCUAUUCAACCAACACAUAGAACCUCAAAGAGUGCCCCAAAGUUUCUACCAGAGAGUGAAGACGAAAACAUGUGCCAACCCCUAUGCAUAGAUUCCCAAGGUCAUGGAACCCGCAAGUUGAUCACCAAAACAUACAUCAAGUGGAUCAUAGAAUACCCCAUUGUCACCACAGGAUCCCACGCAAGACAUACAUCAAGUGUCCUCAAAUCCUUAAAGACUCAAUCCGAUAAGAUAACUUCAAAGGGAAAACUCAAUCUAUUACAAGAGAGUAGAGGGGGAGAAACAUCAUAAGAUCCAACUAUAAUAGCAAAGCUCGCGAUAAAUCAAGAUCGUGCCACCUCAAGAACACGAGAGAGAGAGAGAGAGAGAGAGAGAUCAAACACAUAGCUACUGGUACAUACCCUCAGCCCCGAGGGAGAAUAAGGGAGUCCUGGAUUAGGGGGUCUCCGGACAGCCGGACUAUAUCCUUUGGCCGGACUGUUGGACUAUGAAGAUACAAGAUUGAAGACUUCGUCCCGUGUCCGGAUGGGACUCUACUUGGCGUGGAAGGCAAGCUAGGCAGUACGGAUAUGUAUAUCUCCUCCUUUGUAACCGACCUUGUGUAACCCUAUCCCCCUCCGGUGUCUAUAUAAACCGGAGGGUUUAGUCCGUAGGACAACAUACAAUCAUACCAUAGGCUAGCUUCUAGGGUUUAGCCUCUCCGAUCUCGUGGUAGAUCAACUCUUGUAAUACUCAUAUCAUCAAGAAUAAAUCAAGCAGGACGUAGGGUUUUACCUCCAUCAAGAGGGCCUAAACCUGGGUAAAACAUCGUGUCCCUUGCCUCCUAUUACCAUCCGCCUUAGACGCACAGUUCGGGACCCCCUACCCGAGAUCCGCCGGUUUUGACACCGACAUUGGUGCUUUCAUUGAGAGUUCCUCUGUGACAUUGCCGUAAGGAAGGAUGCCUCAUCUCGUUGUUAAAAACAACAUUACCGCCAGGGGAGCCCUGGCUGUCGGCCAAACUCUCUGGCUAGGCAGUUUCAUCAUGACCGCCUAUUCGACUGCUGAACUGACGAUGACUUCUCGGGUCAUCAAAAACAACCUCCACAUCGGCUCGGAAUUCGCCGAGCAGAUGGAUCCAAUGGAGAUCUCUUCCCUAAACGAGCUCUUAGAUCACAUCGCCGCCUUGGGUGUCGCUACGGACUAUGAUCGGAUUGGGCUUAAACCCGAUUGAAGGGAGAUUAACUCCCCACCGGUCACCCAUCAUGUUGCGGUGGUGGAGGAACAAUGCGGCGAUUCUUCCUCUAUCUUGAGGACUAACUAUGUCUGAAUUCCUGAGCUCACCGAGCCGGAUACCCGUUUAUGGGAGGACAUCACCCAAACCCUGAACCUGGAGUCAGGCAGCGGGCCAGACUCAUCGGGCAACACCCCGGAAUCCGAACUUCCAAGAUCAGAAACUCCUCGGCCCUUGGGCCUCAGAUUGGGUAGGGGUUCAGACUCAAAACCACCCACCCACCCAGACAUAAAUGAUCUUUCCCACAUCAGGCAAGAGCCCCAUGAAACAGUACAUCAUUAUUGGGCCAGAUUCCUCCUUGUGAUGAACAAGGUUAAGGACUGCUGCGAGGAAGAUGUAGUCUCACUUUUCUGCAAUAACUGCACGGACAAGGGAAUCCUUAACGCCAUAAGUCACCGUGACAUAUCACGCUUUGCCAACUUGGCGUCCAUAGUAUGAAAGUACUGUGCGAUGGAAAGUUCCUGGAAAACCGAAACAAAAUUUUGGGUUAAUCUGGCUCCAUAUAUACACCCAGUCCAAGGAAAAAGGGUGCACUAUCAUAAGACACCCGAGUUAAUUACAAAGAAGCAAAAACCCUCUACAGGGCGUGGAACUGUAUUGGAGGGAUGGCUCAACGGACCCUCUAAAAUUCAUAGUACAACGGAUACCAUACCAACACACAACCUUAGAGCAUGUUGGAUACUCCGGCAGGUGGCCAAAAGCGGCGAAGACCUUCUCAUUCCAGAUGCCACAGAGCACCAUCCCAGUGAUAACAAUACGGUAUUAACAGUCUUUGAGACCUUCGCAUCAAAUAAUAGGCGCAAGCGAACACUCCGCAGCAUUGCCGAAAUCUGCCACGUAGCAGCACUAAAUCCAUGGAGCGACACGGCUAUUACCUUCAAUGCCAGCGAUGAACCUAAAUUAUGAAUAGCCCGAGCACCAGCAGCACUGGUCCUUAGUCCAAUCGUGGACGGCUUUCGACUCACUAAAGUGCUCAUGGACGGCGGCAGUGGAUUAAACCUCAUCUACGAGGAAACUCUUCAAAAAAUGGAAAUAGACUGGAACCGCAUUGAGCGAAGCAGCACAACUUUCAGAGGAAUCAUCCCCACUUGGGAAGCACGCUGUGCUGGGAAAAUCACACUAGAUGUGGUAUUCAGCACGCCGAAGAACUAUAGGUCUGAAGAAAUUACAUUCCAAGUGGCCCCGUUCAGUAGCGGAUACCACGCCCUUUUAGGGCGGGAGGCGUUCACGAUCUUCCAAGCCAUACCCCAUUACGGGUACAUGAAGCUCAAAAUGCCCGGGCCCAACAGAAUCAUCACUCUCGCUAGUGAUCCGGACACAACACUCCACGCCGAAAACAAAACAGCCGCAUUGGCCCUUGAGGCAUUAUCCGAAGCCUUUGCGGCUGAGGAAUUAACUGCGCUGCGCUCCACAGUGGACAGGGACGACGUGAUACUUGACAAGAGAUCCAAGUCCACCUCUUUCAAACCAGCGGAUGAAAUAGUCAAAUUCCAAGUCCACCCAACGGACCCUACAAAAACAGCCUCCAUCGGGGCACAGUUAAACCCCGCCGUGGACGCUGCACUACGAGAGUUCUUGUGCGAGAAUUGGGACAUAUUUGCCUGGCACCCCUCAGACAUGCCAGGAAUCCCACACAAGCUGGCCGAGCACAGCCUUAAUAUCCUAAAAGGAUUCAAGCCGGUCAAGCAGGCUCUUCGGUGUUUCUCUGAACCUAAGAGACAGGCUAUGGGAGAGGAAGUAGCCAAGUUAUUGGAGGUCGGAUUCAUCAAAGAAAUAAAACACCCGGACUGGCUAGCAAACCUGGUGAUGGUACCAAAGAAGGAUAAAUCAUGGUGCCUUUGUGUCGAUUUCAAGGACCUCAAUAAAGCUUGCCCAAAGGAUCCCUUCCCCCUCCCCCGCAUUGAUCAAAUUAUUGAUGCUACCGUAGGACACGAGUCAUUGUGUUUCCUCGAUGCAUACUCCGGUUACCACCAAAUCAAGAUGGCAGAGUCCGACCAAGCCGCAACGGCAUUCAUCACACCAUACGGUCCCUUCUGUUUCAACAUAAUGCCUUUCGGGCUCAAAAAUGCCGGCGCAACAUAUCAGCGCAUGAUUCAGACAUGUCUGGAGAAACAAAUCGGCAAAACAGUAGAGGCAUACGUAGAUGAUGUGGUCAUAAAAACCAAACACAUCGACUCUCUGAUACAUGACUUGAGGCUCAUAUUCGACAACCUCCGAACAUACGACAUCAAGCUCAAUCCAGAAAAAUGCGUUUUUGGCGUACCAGCCGGAAAGCUCCUGGGUUUCAUUGUCUCUAGUAGAGGUAUUGAAGCUAAUCCGGCCAAAAUCCGAGCUUUGUCACAGUUGGCUACCCCAACAGACCUCAAACAAAUCCAGAAGUUAACUGGAUGCGUGGCGGCUCUAAGCUGCUUUAUCUCCCGCUUAGGAGAAAAGGCAUUACCCCUUUAUCGCCUCCUUUGGCGCACCGAACACUUCGAGUGGACGGACGCUGCCACAGCCAGAUUGGAUGAAAUAAAAGCCAUACUGGCAACCAACCCAAUCCUGGCCGCGCCAAACAUCAGCGAACCAAUGCUAUUAUACAUUAUGGCAACUCAUCAGGUUGUAAGCGUAGUGUUCGUCGUCGAACGAGAAGCGGACGGACAUAAAUUCCCUCUUCAAAAGCCGGUAUACUAUGUAUCCACUAUCCUCACUCCAUGCAAAUCAUGGUACCCACAUUAUGAAAAGAUAGCCUAUGCGGUAUUCAUGGCAUCCCGGAAACUGCGACACUAUUUUCAAGAGUGUUCGAUUACAGUAGCCUCGGAGGUGCCACUCAAUGAUAUCAUAAACAACCGCAACGCCACGGGCCGGAUUGCCAAAUGGGCCAUUCAGCUCCUCCCGUUCUACAUACAUACAAACCUCGGCGAGCCAUUAAAUCGCAAGUAUUGGCCGACUUCGUCGCCGAAUGGACGGAAGCCGAACUCCCUAAAGAGUACGGCGCGUACUCCAAUUGGAUUAUGCACUUCGACGGCUCCAAAAUGCUGGCUGGACUGGGGGCUGGCGUCAUCCUGACAUCCCCAACCGGAGAUACAGUUCAAUACGUAUUGUAGAUACUGUAUACAGAUUCCAACAAUACAGCCGAAUACGAAGCCCUGUUACAUGGUCUUCAGAUGGCAAUUUCCAUGGGCAUUCAACGCCUGGAGGUGCGUGGGGACUCGAACCUUGCAAUAUCCCAAAUAAAUGGAGACUUUGAUGCCAAGGAUCCGAAGAUGGCGGCCUAUCGUAACGCCGUCCUAAAGAUGUCAGCUCGGUUCGAGGGGCUCGAAUUUCACCAUGUGGCUCGAGAAAACAAUCAGGCGGCGGAUAUCCUCGCCCGCAUCAGCGCAAAACGCGACGCGGUUCCCCCAACAUAUUUUUAGAGAGGUUGUUUAAGCCAUCCGUGGUAUGGGGGGGGGGACACCGGCAAAAUUAGUCCGGACCCGGCCACAACACUCGAUACCGAACACUCUGACAUAAUCGGAGGCUUUGCCACCGAAACAACACCUUCAGCCCACGUAAUAAUGGCCAUCAUAGCCCCGUGGACAGAACCAUUCCUGGCCUACCUAACUAGGCAGGAACUUUCGGAGGACCAAAAUGAGGCACGCUGCAUAGUGCGGCGAUCUAAGGCCUACAGGGUCCAUGAGGGAGAACUGUACAAAAAAGCACUACCAGAGUCCUUCAAAGGUGCAUCUCCGAAGAGGAAGGGCGGAACCUUUUGGCAGAAAUUCACGCUGGACUCAGCAGCCACCACGCCGCAGCCCGGGCUCUUGUAAGCAAGGCCUUCUGUACAGGAUUCUAUCGGCCGAUGACCCGGGUAGACGCACAGGACUUGGUCCAACGCUGCGCCGGUUGCCAGCUUUUUGCAAAUCAAAGCCACAUGCCACCCACCGCCCUCCAAACAAUCCCCAUUACGUAGCCCUUCGCGGUCUGGGGGCUUGACAUGGUUGGACCCCUUAAAGGGGGAACCCACAAGAAAAAAUACUUACUGGUCAUGGUGGAUAAAUUCACCAAAUGGAUAGAAGCCAAACCUGUUAAAACAGCCGAAUCCGGAUCGGUGAUAGACUUUAUAUCUGGGGUCGUACACCGUGAUGGCGUCCCCCACAACAUCAUCACUGACAAUGGCACGAACUUCACGGCCGAUGAGGUAAAACUCUGGUGCAGCAAAAUGGGCAUCAAGCCCGAUUAUGCUUCAGUCUAUCACCCACAAACCAAUGGCCAAGUUGAGCGAGCAAACAGUCUUAUAAUGAGCGGCAUUAAACCCAGAUUAGUGCGGUCCUUAAUAGAGUCUAACACGCACUGGGUAGAGGAGCUCGACUCCGUACUGUGGGGGCUCCGAACCACGCCGAAUCGUAGUACCAGAUAUACACCCUUCUUUAUGGUGUACGGCGCAGAGGCAGUCUUGCCCUAUGACAUAAUUCAUGACUCACCUCGAGUGCGCAUGUACGAAAAAAGAGAAGCCGAGCUCGAUCGGCAGGACAGUCUGGACACCCUGGAGGAGGAGCGGAUGUGGCAAAAGCCCGUUCCGCAUUUUAUCAGCAACAGGCUCGCAGAUACCAAAGCAGAGAAGUACGGGCCAAAACUUAUAGCGUUGGCGAACUAGUUCUACGCCUGCCGGAUAAGAAAAAGAACAAGCUCGAGCCCAAAUGGGAAGGUCCCUUCAUUAUUGACCAAGUUCUGACCGGUGGAGCGUACUGUCUGCGGGAUGCAUCGAAUAAUUGACUCGAGCCGAACCCAUGGAAUGCGGCCAGACUCCGAAGAUUCUACGCCUAGCGCCGGACUCUAUGUUCGUCUCCUUCCUAUGCCCAUUUUUGCAUAUACAUUAUCUGUCUUGUUUUUCUUUCUUUCUUUCUUUCUUUCUUUUAUUCUUUCUCUAGGCCUUCAAGGGCCAACUUGUGCCUCGCUUGCACAUUAUAGAUGCGCUAGCCACGCUCAUCAUACCUGGGGGCUUCUUUCACAGAAGCUUAAUUAUUUAUCUGGGCCUCAUGCCCCGCACAUGUGUUAUACUUCUGCAUGUACCUUUUUUUGCCAUUAUAUGCAUUGAUAUGACUUAAGUUUUGGCCAAGCUGGGUUGCCUGGCUCUUGUAUUUAUGCCCUACGUUCCCGUUAAUUCGGCUAGGGCAUAAGGGGAGCACCUCUGCGAUUGUUACUGCCGGGUCAGCCGGAUGUGUACCUCAGACUGGGUGAAGCCGAAAGCUAGCGUUCUUAAGAGAAUUUUUGGUCGGUGAACAAAAGAUGAUUUUUAUUUAUUUUCCAUAUGUGCCCCCAGAUGUUUUUCCUGUGUUUUCUAUCGCAGUACGGACAUGCAUUUUAGGGCAUGCAUACCCAGGGAAAGGAACCCUUAACGAAACUAUUCUCCCUGGAAGAUGUUUCUUACUACCCAUGUAAUAUAACAUAACUAGUUGGUCACUUGUCUGUUCAAGCACUAAUGACCCCUAUGCCCGGUCUCCACGCAUACCCCGAUUCUUAUAUAACUGAGUGGGUAUUCGGAUACACUCCGGACUAUCGGGUCCCGAGGUUGAAGCGAAAAGGUCCGCCAUGACAAAUGAUCUACAAUCCGGCUAGAAGGCGUUAUACAUGUCACUUUCAUUACAUAGUCAUGCAAACUGACUAAAUUCCUCUUCUAUACCAUCCAACAGGCAGUCUAGCCUACAAUCCCGUUGGGAAUACUUUGCGUCUAAUUCUACUUGCCCAUAAACUAAGCUAACGGGGAUAUCUUUUCCGUCGGGCCCCACAGGUCCGACCUCAGCCAUGUGAUUUGGGUUAGCCUUGGUAUACCGCGUCUUCACCAUGGCCCAGGCUUCCUUGGCACCUUGACGGCAGGCCGAUAUCUUCCAUAAUCGGAAGCACCGCUGUGCUCCCUUGAGCUUCUCCGUAAGCUCUGCAACGCCUUCUGGCAAGGAGACGGAUGGCCACAAGGCCUGGGCAACACCUUGCAUCACGUGCCGAACUUGUUCGUGCAGUUGUGAGAGCUCGGAUAGAAGAUCACCCGCAGACCCGGGCAUCUCCUCCGCGGGACGACCCAUCAGCAUACCUGCAGACAUAACUCUGUUAGCCGGCUUCUCCGCUGUCCCCUUUAUUAAGGGUUCGUUCAAGCACUUACUGAAAAUGCCGCGUCGAAGCCGCUUAUUCUCCUUCUCGGAGUCCGCAAGCUGGGCUCGAGCAUCUUUCAGUUCCACGCUCAUCUUGGUAUUGGCGUCUUGGAGAUUGUUUUUCUCCUGCCUGACCUUAGUCAGCACGCGUUCGCCAGCCUUUAGCUGCCGAACAGCAUGCUGCUCCUCUGGAUUCUCUCCGUAUUCAUCUGCAAUAUCUAUUGUUAGAUCUGCAGCUAUGCCGCAUGCUAUAUGGUACCUAUGAUUCUUUGAAAGAAAUGUUACCAGCAGGGGCCUUUUUAGGUUCCUUCAAUGCAGCAACAGCGGCCCGUAGUUGGGUCUUGCAUUCCUCCAGCUCCUGUGAUAGUCGACUAUUCUUCUCUGUAAGAACCUGCACAAUAAGAUGAUCCUUAAAUCAGUUCUGCUAACUGUUUCAAGUCUCAGGGGCUACUGAUACAUAUAAUCGUCAGAUUUUCUUACCCGUACAUCCUUUACAUACUGGUCCGUGGCUCUGGCUAGACCAUUUUGAGCAGCACAGAGAUACGCCUCUCCAGAAUUGAAGGCAUCAAAUGCCUUUGGUGAGAAGCAAGCAUCGCGGAGUACGGCCCGGUGACGCCUAUGAUUCAUGGCGCUCUCCACUUCUAAAUUUGUAGCAGAUAGCGUAUCCGCAUCCUCUGUAGGGGGAGUAUUCGGUGUCAGCCCCAUGUCGGCUUCCGCCUCUAUGUCCGGCCCUGGAGCCCGACUGGUGCAAGCGUGAUCAGCAGCCUCACCAGACAUAUUCCGGCGAGCGUUUUUUCUAUUAAAGAAACAUGGAUGUCAUUAUAUUUCAAGAAAGACGACAACCACGGAGCGGGGUUUCUACCAUACCUCUAUGCCGACAUCUCCGUCUUGACCGCCUUUCUUUUUGGCCAGCCCGGCCUCGGUGCCUCUUGUUGGCGAGUUGCUGCGGGUUCGGCAUGGCGUCCCGAAUGCCUUCCCUGUAAAAACACCAUAUGCAUAUGGUAGGUGAAGUGUCCAAAUGGGGAUCCUAGUUUUUGGAGUUGGGAUUUUUGGUUUUUCUUACUUGCGAUCCAGGAAGCAGUCUGGGAUAGUCGGCUGUAAUGGCCACCAUGGCGUCAUCACAACUUAAUUGAUAGAACCGCCAGUCUAUCAACUCCAUGAAUAUGUCCGGAUCUUAUUCGAGUCCGGGACCGAGGGCCUGGUCAGGGUCCUCUGGCUGUGGAGAUGGGCUGCUGACCUCCCUUAUGGCUUUUCGUAGUUCCUAUCGCAAAAUGGCAAGGUGAGUACCUACGACAAUGAAUGCGGGAAGAAUGGGAGUAGGGAGAUAUAACUCACCCAGCUUGGCGGGUUGUACAUGGAGAAUCAUCCCGUGACUUGAUGUGGAUGAACUCCUCUUGCUCUCCUCUGAACAAUUCAGACAGAAUUUUUGCUAAAGCAGCGGCGUUGUUCGGACCCUUACGCCCGCAAUGGGUGGCGUCAUCUUCCCCGUUAAAACACCAAGGGAUGCCCUCGAUAUUGAAGUGGUUGCACUCCCUGCAUUAUACAUAUUGACAUAACCUCGAUUACUGUCAUCCUGAUUGAGCCAACACUUUAAUCCGGUUCAUCAGGUAAAGGACUUCCCAGUUGUCUUCCUCUUGGGGGCUCCGUGGGCGCCAACUUCGGCGUUUCUUUAAAGGAGCAUUGCUGAACUCAGGAAGACCGCGCCGAACAGGGUCCGGAAGGGGGACGUCCUCCAUAUAAAACCAUUCCGAAGGCCAGUCUUCGUACGUCUUCUUCGGAGUACUGGACAGGUAUCCGGUUUCGGUGAUGCGCCAUAUUUCGGCUCCGCCCACUUGAUAAAGUAACCCCUGCUGUGUGCGAGGGACGAGGCAAAAUAACCUUUUCCACAGCUCGAAACAAGCCUCGCAACCCAGGAACAACUCGCAGAGGGCAACAUAGCCGGCAAUAUGUAAAAUAGAGGGAGGGGUGAAAUUAUGCAAUUGGAGGAAAUAGAACUCCAGGAGCCCACGGAGGAACAGAUGAAUCGAAAAUCCAAGUCCCCUCAAUAAAUAGGGGACAAGGCAUACCCGCUCCCCCAUAGAGGGGCUAGGGAAGCUCUCCGCUUGCUCCCCGCCAUUAUAGGUGGCAAGCCCGGCUCGAACGGGCACCAUAUACGCCGGAGGGAGAAAUCCCUUAGUCUGCAGUUCGACUAGUCGACUGUGUGGGACUGAACACCUCUCCCAAUCACCGAGCUUAGGGCUACGGGGGCGGGAAGAGGAGCUGCGGUUGUCGGCCAUGAUGGAAUGGAUUUUUCCGAAGCGCGCUCCGAUGGAUUCUCGCUGGGGUAGGAUGAUGUGGAUUGGAUCUAAGAAUCCCCAUCCCUUUAAUAGACGAUUUAUUUAUCUGGCUAGGGGGGCAAAUGUAAAAGCGCCCUGGCUCCUCGUAUUCAUUCGACGCGUGGAAGAGAGCCCUUAUUGGGCACAGAAGCCAAGAGGUCCAAGAUUUAUGGGGCCGGACACUACUUAUCAGAUAUUCAAGAUUUGGAGAAGAACCCGCCAUGCAAUGCCGAAGACAAUACUGCGCGCCGGACUCAUCGUCAUUGAAGCCUGGUUCAGGGGCUACUGAGGGAGUCCUGGAUUAGGGGGUCUCCGGACAGCUGGACUAUAUCCUUUGGCCGGACUGUUGGACUAUGAAGAUACAAGAUUGAAGACUUCGUCCCGUGUCCGGAUGGGACUCUACUUGGUGUGGAAGGCAAGCUAGGCAGUACGGAUAUGUAUAUCUCCUCCUUUGUAACCGACCUUGUGUAACCCUAGCCCCCUCCGGUGUCUAUAUAAACCGGAGGGUUUAGUCCGUAGGACAACAUACAAUCAUACCAUAGGCUAGCUUCUAGGGUUUAGCCUCUCUGAUGUCGUGGUAGAUCAACUCUUGUAAUACUCAUAUCAUCAAGAAUAAAUCAAGCAUGACGUAGGGUUUUACCUCCAUCAAGAGGGCCUGAACCUGGGUAAAACAUCAUGUCCCUUGCCUCCUGUUACCAUUUGUCUUAGACGCAUAGUUCGGGACCCCCUACCCGAGAUCUGCCGGUUUUGACACCGACAGAGAACUACUCCCUUCUCGUCAUGGAUCGGGAAUCAGGGAUGAGAUUAUGCAACAAGCCGGCGAUGUGCAAAAUAUCCGCGAAGGUAAACUCCAUGAUCAGCGCCCAAUUGGAUUCGAUGGGUAUGGGCACAGGCGGUUCGGAGUCCGUGGCCGGGGAAGAAUCCGGUAGUUCGGCAUCACGGCUCCCGUGAAGGGUAAGGUUGAUACUCGGCUCGAUCGCCGAUGAGAGUGCGGCCUCCAUGGCGGGGUCUAUCCACCCGUCCACGGAUGGCACAACUGGUUCCGAAUUGAGGGUCGGAGUAGUUGCUGGUGCGAUCUCCUGAACACUGUCCGAUGGUAGAGAUAAAUCAUACUCAUCGUGACAGUGUGGCGCACAAGGCAGGGGCUCGAAUCCGUCGAAGAUCAAGUCUUCACGGAUAUUGGCCGUGUAGUUUAAGCUUCCAAACCUGACCUGGUGGCCAGGGGUGUAACUCUCGAUCUGCUCCAGAUGGCCAAGCGAGUUGGCCCGCAGUGCGAAUCCGCCGAAUACAAAGAUUUGUCCGGGGAGAAAAGUCUCACCCUGGACUGAAUCACUAUCGAUGAUCGUAGGAGCCAUCAAGCCUAACGGCGACGACGCAGUGGGCAACAUAGCCGGCGAUGUGCAAAAUGGAAGCAGGGGUGAGAUUAUGCAGUUGGAGGCCGUAAAACUCCAGGAGCCCGCGGAGGAACAAUGAAUCGGAAAUCCGAGUCCCCUCAAUAAAUAAGGGACAAGGUAAACCCGCUCCCCCAUAGAGGGGCUAGGGAAACUCUCCGCUUGCUCCCCGCCAUUGUAGGUGGCGAGCCCGGCUCGGACGGGCACCAUAUACGUCGGAGGGAGAAAUCCCUUGGUUUGCAGUUCGACUAAUCGACUGUGUGGGACUGAACACCUCUCCCAAUCACUGGGCUUAGGGCUACGGGGGGCGGGAGGAGGAGCUGCGGAGGUCGGCCAUGCUAGAGUGGAUCUUUCUGAAGCACGCUCCGAUGGAUUCUUGCUUGGGGAGGAUGGUAUGGAUUGGAUCUAAGAAUCCCCAUCCCUUUAAUAGAAAAUUUAUUUAUUUGGCUAGGGGGGCGAAUGUAAAAACACCCUGGCGCCUCGCAUUAAUUCGACGCGUGGAAAAUAGCCCUUAUUGGGCAUAGAAGCCAAGAGGUUCAACAUUUAUGGGACCGGACACUACUAAACAAGUAUUCAAGAUUUGGAGGAGAACCCGCCUUGCAAUGCCGAAGACAAUACUGCGCGCUGGACUCAUCGUCAUUGAAGCCUGGUUCAGGGGCUACUGAGGGAGUCCUGGAUAAGGGGGUCUCCGGACAGCCGGACUAUAUCCUUUGGCCGGGCUGUUGGACUAUGAAGAUACAAGAUUGAAGACUUCGUCCCGUGUCCGGAUGGGACUCUACUUGGCAUGGAAGGCAAGCUAGGCAAUAUGGAUAUGUAUAUCUCCUCCUUUGUAACCGACCUUGUGUAACCCUAGCCCUCUCCGAUGUCUAUAUAAACCGGAGGGUUUUAGUCCAUAGGACAACAUACAAUCAUACCAUAGGCUAGCUUCUAGGGUUUAGCCUCUCUGAUCUCGUGGUAGAUCAACUCUUGUACUACACAUAUUAUCAAGAAUAAUCAAGCAGGACGUAGGUUUUUACCUCCAUCAAGAGGGCUCGAACCUGGGUAAAACAUCGUGUCCCCUGCCUCCUGUUACCACCCGCCUUAGACGCAUAGUUCGGGACCCCCUACCCGAGAUACGCCGGUUUUGACACCGACAUUGGUGAUUUCAUUGAGAGUUCCUCUGUGUCGUCGCCGUUAGGCUUGAUGGCUCCUACGAUCAUCGAUAGUGAUGCAGUCCAGGGAGAGACUUUUCUCCCCAGACAGAUCUUUGUAUUCGGCGGAUUUGCACUAUGGGCCAACUCGCUUGGCCAUCUGGAGCAGAUAGAGAGUUAUGCCCCUGGCCACCAGGUCAGGUUUGGAAGCUUAAACUACACGGCCGAUAUCCGCGGAGACUUGAUCUUCGACGGAUUCGAGCCCCUGCCCUGUGCGCCACACGGUCACGAUGAGUAUGAUUUAGCCCUACUAUCGGACAGUGUUCAGGAGAUCGCACCAGCAACUGCUCCGACCCUCAAUUCGGAACCAGUUGCGCCAUCCAUGGACGGGUGGAUAGACCCCGCCACGGAGGCCGCACUCUCAUUGGUGAUCGAGCCGAGUAUCGACCUUCCCCUUCACGAGAGCCGUGACGCCGAACUCAUGGUUUCCUCCCCGACCACGGACUCUGAACCGCCUGCGCCCGUGCUUAUUGAAUCCGAUUGGGCGCCGAUCAUGGAGUUUACCUCCGCGGAUAUUUUUCAGCACUCGCCCUUCGGCGACAUACUGAACUCAUUAAGGUCUCUCUCCUUGUCAGGAGAAUCCUGGUUGAACUAUGUCCGGCAGGAUUGGGAUGCGGAUGACGAAGAAAUUCGCCGCCCACCCACCACCCACUUAGUAUCCACCAUCGACGACUUAACCGACAUGCUCGACUUCGACUCCGAAGACAUCGACGGUAUGGACGAUGAUGCGGGAGACGAAGAGGAACCACUGCCCAUAGGGCACUGGACAGCCACCUCGUCAUACGAUAUAUACAUGGUGGGCGCACCCAAAGAAGGCAAUGGCGACGAGACAACGGAGGAUGACCCCUCCAAGAAGCAACCCAAGCGCCAACGUCAGCGGCGCCGCUCUAAUUCUCGCCAAAGAAAAAGCGGUGACACCGGCACAGGAGACAAUACCACUCCGGACAGUGCCGAAGACGACAACAAUCCCCCACAGCAAGAUUUAGGGCAGGAGGAUGGAGAAGCCAGCCCUCCCGAGAGAGCGGCAGAUGGAGAGGCGGAGGAUGAUAAUUACAUGCCUCCCUCCGAAGAUGAGGCAAGCCUCGACGAUGACGAAUUCAUCGUGCCUGAGGAUCCCGUCGAACAAGAGCGCUUCAAGCGCCGGCUUAUAGCCAUGGCAAACAGCCUUAAGAAAAAGCAACAACAACUUCAAGCUGAUCAAGAUUUGCUAGUCGAUAGAUGGACUGAAGUCCUUGCAGCCGAGGAAUAUAAACUCGAACGUCCCUCCAAGAGUUACCCAAAGCGCAGAUUGCUACCCCGACUAAAGGAGGAAGCACCAAAACCUACAUCUCCAGCGUAUGACGCGGCUGAUCGGCCACCUCAUGGCCGCGACAGAGAGCCACUUCAGCCAAAAGCUCAGCCCGCACUCCGAUGCCACUCAAAUAAAAAUGUCAAGGCACAGGGAAAUACGCCAGACCUGCGAGACGUAUUGGAGGAAAAAGCAAAAUAUGCAAGACCGAUCUACGGAUCGCAAGGGCGCGCCACUAUGCGAGAUGAUAAUCGUCACGCCGGAUACAGUAAAAGUAAGUUCAUCCGGGCUGAACACAACAGGCAAGACUCAUUUGAGCUACGUCGCAAUAUAGCCCAGUACAGAGGCGCCGCACACCCCCUAUGCUUCACAGACGAAGUAAUGGAUCAUUAAAUCAUAGAGGGUUUCAAACCCGUAAAUAUCGAAUCAUACAAUGGCACAACAGAUCCUGCGGUAUGGAUCAAGGAUUUCCUCCUGCACAUCCACAUGGCCCGCGGUGAUGAUCUACACGCCAUCAAAUACCUCCCACUCAAGCUCAAAAGACCAGCUCGGCAUUGGCUCAACAGCCUGCCAGCAUAAUCCAUUGGCUGUUGGGAAGACCUGGAAGCUGCAUUCCUCGACAACUUCCAGGGCACUUAUGUGUGACCACCGGAUGCCGAUGACUUGAGCCACAUAAUUCAGCAGCCAGAAGAAUCGGCCAGGCAAUUCUGGACACGGUUCCUAACAAAGAAAAAUCAAAUCGUCGACUGUCCGGAUGCAGAGGCCCUAAUAACUUUUAAGCACAACAUCCGCGACGAGUGGCUAGCCCGGCACCUUGGCCAGGAAAAGCCGAAAUCUAUGGCAGCCCUCACAACACUCAUGACCCGCUUCUGCGCGGGAGAAGACAGCUGGCUGGCUCGCAGCAAUAACAUAUCAAUGAACCAUGGUACUUCGGAUACCAAGGAUGGCAAUGGCAGGUCAUGUCGCAACAAACAUAAGCGCCGCAUUAACAUCGACAACACCGAGGAUACGACAGUCAAUGCCGGAUUCAAAGGCUCUAAACCCGGUCAGCGGAAAAAGCCAUUAAAAGAAGCACUCUGGGCCCGUCCAGUUUGGACCGUAUACUCGACCGCUCGUGUCAAAUACACGGCGCCUCCGACAAGCCAGCCAACCACACCAACAGGGAUUGUUGGGUGUUCAAGCAGGCCAGCAAGUUAAUUGCCAAAAACAACGAUAAGGGGUCACAUAGCAAUGACGAAGAGGAGCCCCGGAAGCCGAACACCGGAGGACAGAAGAGGUUCCCCCCACAAGUGCGGACGGUGAACAUGAUAUACGCAACCCACAUCCCCAAGAGGGAGCAGAAGCGUGCGCUGAGGGACGUAUAUGCGUUGGAACCAGUCGCCCCAAAGUUCAAUCCAUGGUCCUCCUGUCCGAUCACCUUCGAUCGCAGGGACCACCCCACUAGUACCCGUCAUGGCAGAUUCGCCGCACUGGUCCUAGACCCAAUCAUUGACAGAUUUCACCUCACUCGAGUCCUUAUGGAUGGCGGCAACAGCCUGAACCUGCUUUACCAGGACACAUUGCGCAAAAUGGGUAUAGACCCCUCAAGGAUCAAACCCACAAAAAUGACCUUUAAAGGCGUCAUACCAGGUGUAGAGGCCCAUUGCACAGGCUCAGUAACACUGGAAGUGGUCUUCGGAUCCCCGGAUAACUUCUGAAGCGAGGAGUUAAUCUUCGAUAUAUCCCCGUUCCGCAGUGGCUAUCAUGCACAGCUCGGGCGAACCGCAUUUGCAAGAUUCAAUGCGGUACCACAUUAUGCAUACCUCAAGCUCAAGAUGCCAGGACCUCGGGGGGUCGUCACAGUUAAUGGAAACACAGGGCGCUCUCUCCGCACGGAGGAGCACAUUGCGGCCCUUGCAGCAGAAGCGCAAAGCAGCCUCUUAAGGCAAUCCACUAGUUCGGCGGUUAAGGACCCGGAAAACUUCAAGCGCGCCCGGAGUAAUCGGCAACAAGACCGCUUGGCAUGUUCCGAGCUCACAUAGCAAUGCGGCCCCCACCCCAGUCCCAGCCAAAUGGCGAAAUCUGUGCCGCGGGUACAUAAUUACGCAUUGAAUAUACCAUGGGCAUAGGUGGGGAGGGGGGGGGGCACGACUAUGGCACGCCCCAAGAUGCGGCUCAACCGCACUAGGGGCUUCACACUUUAUUAUUUUUCUCUCUUUCAGGACUUUAAUCUCUGGAAACCCUGUCCGGCAGUAUGAUUGCCGAACACAUCAUGCAGCAACCAAGGCGAUAGAAAGCUACGUCGCACCACGGAACUCCCAGGUGGAUUACGAUAACGAGUGAAAUACUUGCUUUAAUGCCAUUCCUCAGCUUACCCUUGGAGGGGACACUUCAAAUAGUCCUACUUUUUGUUUAUUGCCCUACUUGCAUCAUUUUGCUUUAACGCACCUUUUUGAAUAAACAAUGCAUAGCACUAGACUAUUAUCGCAUUCUUUAUUUUUCCUUUUUUUAUAUACAUAUAUAUGUUCAUUCAUGACAUCCAGCACCCGUACACCCUGGUACGGCUAAUACGCUAGGGGCUUAAGCAUACCCCUUAUUACGACGUGAGAAGUCCAAACACUUUCAACAGUGCGGCACCCCAAACUUAUAACAUUAUAUGCAUCAGCUCCGAAUCAUGUCUUCGGUCAAUAGUGGGGUUUGCCCGGCUCCCAUGUUUUCGUACCUUACGUUCCGCUAUAUCGGCUAAGGUAGCAUUGGGAGAACUACUGCGAUUGUGCCCCGGUUCUGCUGGGCUAAGCACCUCAGUAGAGAAAGCUAAAACUGACUGUCAUGAUAAGGCGAGAGACUGGUCGCUGUUCGAGAGGUUUAGAGUCCCUAAAGACUUAUGCCGCUUAGAGCGAGGAGUCGGCUUUGUCCGGCUUAAGGCGUGUAUCGCGCCUCGAAUUCGGCCUUCCGAAUACUAGGGGCUUCGCCGAAAUUUAAAAUUAUAGAAUUCUAUGGCUAAGUGAGAGUGAUAAAGCAUUAUAGUCCGAUUGCCUUGUUCGUUGUGCUGAGCACCUCCCUCGAAGGACCCAAAAAUGGGAACAAGAGUGCUCAGGUUUAUCCCCGAACACCCCAGCACUCGUGGCAUGGGGGCAGAAGCCGACGACUAGCCAUCUCUCAGAUUUGAUAAACAGCCGAACAUAAGGUAAUAUUUUAAAUUCAAACAAGCGUUGCAUAGCGCAUAUGAACAAGUUUUCAUAAUAUAGGAUCACACGAGCAAGUUCAUUCAAAUAUUACAUCUUUCACACACUCGUCCGCUACAAGACGGGCACCCUUCAGGACACCCUCAUAAUACAUCUCGGGGUAGUGAUGCUCCUUGCCUUGCGGAGGCCCCUCCUUCACCAGCUUUACGGCGUCCAGCUUCGCCCAGUGCACCUUCGCACGGGCAAAAGCCCGGCGUGCACCUUCGAUCCAGAUGGACCGCUUGAUGACUUCCAGCCGUGGGCAGGCAUCUACAAGCCGCCUCACUAGGCCGAAGUAGUUGUUGGGAAGGGCGUUGCUAGGCCACAUCCGGACUAUAAGGCCCUUCAUGGCCUGUUCGGCCGCCUUGUGCAGCUCGACCAGUUGCUUCAGCUGGUCGCUCAUAGGCAUCGGGUGUUCGGUCCUAGUAUACUGAGACUAGAACAGCUUGUCCGUCGAGCUUCCCUCCUCGGCCUGGUAAAACUAUGCGGCAUCCGACAUGCUGCGGGGCAAAUCUGCAAAUGCUCCUGGAGAGCUCCGGACUCGGGUAAGUAACAAGUAAUUUACUUUCACAUGCUUGCUUUGCAUAUUGAAUGCCUUACCCGCCGCUAUCUUCCUCAUCGCCUCAAUCUCCUGGAGGGCUUUUUGGGCUUCAUCCUUGGCAUUCUUUGCGCUCUCAAGGGCCGCGGAAAGCUCGGACUCCCGCGUCUUCGAGGCAAGCUCUAGCACCUCGUGCUUCGUCACAAGAGCUUGGAGCUCUUGCUGCACCUCGGCCACCCGUGCCUCUUUCUUUUUCCACUCGGUGCGCUCCUGGGCUGCUUUGUUUUCGGCCUCGGACAUUGCUUGCUUCAGGGUUGCCACUUCGGUCGUGGCCCCUGGCAAAUUCAUGAUGAUCCUGUCAUUUUGCAAUCGCAUCUUUUUUUAUAUAUACAUAUAUCUAUAGACUAGGUAUUACUUACCUUUGUUCUCCUUGAGCUGCCUCUUAGCAAGGCCGAGCUCUUUCUAGGACCCCUCGAGGUCCUGCUUCAGUACGGCGACCUCCGCAGACAGUGCGGCAGAGGUCAGCAGCGAAGCCUGCAUACGCAUAUACUUGUAUUAGACUCCUGCAGAUAUUAUUUGAUCCUCUAUUCGGCUUUUCUUUGUGAACACCAAACAGAGCAUCAGGGGCUACUGUCUAUGCGGUAACAUUUUUCCUAUAUUUUAAAUACUUACCUCAAAGCCUGUUAAAAGGCUGGUGAGGGAGUCCUGGAUUAGGGGGUGUCCGGACAGUCGAACUAUAUCCUUUGGCCGAACUGUUGGACUGUGAAGAUACAAGAUUGAAGACUCCGUCCCGUGUCCGGAAGGGACUUUCCUUGGCGUGGAAGGCAAGCUUGGCGAUACAGAUAUGCAGAUCUCCUACCAUUGUAACCGACUCUAUGUAACCCUAACCCUAUCCGGUGUCUAUAUAAACCGGAGGGUUUUAGUCCUUAGGCCAACGUACACAUCAACAACCAUACCAUAGGCUAGCUUCUAGGGUUUAGCCUCCUCGAUCUCGUGGUAGAUCUACUCUUGUACUACCCAUAUCAUCAAUAUUAAUCAAGCAGGACGUAGGGUUUUACCUCCAUCGAGAGGGCCCGAACCUGGGUAAAACUUCGUGUCCCUUGCCUCCUGUUACCAUCCGGCCUAGACACACAGUUCGGGACCCCCUACCCGAGAUCCGCCGGUUUUGAAACCGACAUUGGUGCUUUCAUUGAGAGUUCCUCUGUGUCAUCGCCAUCAGGAAGGAUGCCUCGCCCCGUCUUUAAAGACGACACCAUUGCUAAGGGAGCUUUGGCUAUUGGCCAAACCCUCUGGCUAGGUGGUUUUCUUAUGACCGCCUGUUCGGCUUCUCCGCCGACGAUGACCUCUCGAGCCAUCGAAAACAAUCUUCAUGUCAGCUCGGAACUCGCCGAGCAGUUAGAUCCAAUGGAGCUUUGCUCCAUAAAUGAGCUCUUGGAUCGCUUCGCCGCCCUGGGAGUCGCUACGGAUUACGACCAAAUCGGACCUAAAACUGAUCUGAGAGAGAUUAACUCUCCCCAAGUCACCCAUCACAUUGCCGUGGUAGAGGGACAGCGCGACGACCCUUCAUCUAUCUUAAGGACUCGCUAUGUCUGGAUUCCCGAUCCCUCCAAGCUGGAUACCCGUGGAGGGGAGGAUAUCACUCAAGACCUGAACUUAGAGUCAGGCGACGGGCUGGAUUCAUUAGACAACAUCCAGGAAUCCAAAUUUUUGAGUUUAGAAAUUCCUCGGCCUCUGAGCCUUAGAUGGGGUGAGGCUUCGGAUUUAAUUCCACCCACCCACCCCAACAUAAGCGAUCUAUCUAAAAUCAGGCAAGAACACGAUGAAACAGUACAUCAUUACUGGACCAGAUUCCUCCUGGUUAAGAACAGGCUAAGGGACUGCCGCGAGGAAGACGCGAUCUCAAUCUUCUGCAAUAAUUGCACGGACAAGGGAAUACUCAACGCCAUAAGUCACCGUGAUAUUACACGCUUCGCUGACUUGGCGUCCAUUGUACGAAAGUACUGUGCGAUGGAAAGUGCCUGGAAAACCGAAAUAAAAUUUUGGGACAAUUCGGCCCUGAAUACAAACCCAGUCCGAAAUAAAAGGGUGCAUCAUCACCAGUCACCCAGGUCAAGCACUAAAAAGCAAAAACCCUCUACAGGGCAGGGAACCGUACUGGAAGGAUGGCUUAAUGGACCCUGUAAAAUUCACAGUACAGAGGACGCCACACCAACUCACAGCCUCAGAGCAUGUUGGAUACUCCGGCAGGUGGCCAAAAUUGGUGAAAAUCUCCUAAUUCCGGAGGCCACAGAAAGCCACCCCAGAGACACCAAUACGGCAUUAACAGUCUUCGAGACUUUCGCAUCAAAUAAUAUGCGAAAAAGGACACUCCGCAGCCUUGCCAAAGCCUACCAAGUAGCAACAAUAAACUCAUGGAGUGACAUGGCUAUUACCUUUAACGCCAGUGAUGAACCUAAAUUCUGAACAGCCCGAGCACCAGCCGCAUUGGUCCUCAGUCCAAUAGUGGACGGCUUUCGUCUUACCAAGGUACUCAUGGACGGCGGCAGCGGAUUGAACCUCAUUUAUGAGGAGACCCUUCAAAAAAUGGAAAUAGACUGGAACCGCAUUGAGCGAAGUAGCACAACCUUUAGAGGAAUAAUCCCCAGUCGGGAAGCGCGUUGUACAGGAAAAAUCACACUAGAUGUGGUGUUCGGCACGCCGGAUAAUUAUAGGUCCGAAGAGGUCACGUUCCAGGUGGCUCUGUUCAGCAGCGGUUAUCACGCUCUGCUAGGGCGGGAAGCAUUUACAAUCUUCCAAGCAAUACCCCGUUACGGGUACAUGAAGCUCAAGAUGCCCGGGCCUAACGGGAUAAUCACUCUCGCUAGUGAUCCGGACAUAGCACUCCGCGCUGAAAACAAGACAGCCGCACUGGCCCUCGAGGCACUAUCCGAAGCCCUAGCGGCUGAGGAGCUGACCGUGCUGCGCUCUACGGUGAAUAGGGGCGAUGUGGUACUCGAUAAAAGAUCCAAGUCCACCUCCUUUAAACCGGCAGACGAAAUAGUGAAAUUCUAAGUCCAUCCAACGGACCCGAAUAAAAUAGCUUCCAUCGGGGCACAGUUACACCCUGAUGUCGACGCUGCAUUGCGAGAGUUCCUACGAGAGAACUGGGACAUUUUCGCCUGGCACCCUUUAGACAUGCCAGGAAUCCCACGUAGGCUAGCCGAGCACAGCUUAAAUAUCCAAACAGGAUUUAAACAUGUCAAACAGGCUCUUCGACGUUUUUCCGAACCUAAAAGACAGGCCAUGGGAGAGGAGCUAGCAAAGCUAUUGGAGGCCGGAUUCAUCAGAGAUAUAAAACAUCCGGACUGGCUAGCAAAACUGGUGAUGGUACCAAAGAAGGACAAAUCCUGGCGCCUGUGUGUUGAUUUUAAAGACCUUAACAAGGCUUGCCCAAAGGAUCCCUUCCCCCUCCCCCGCAUCGAUCAAAUUAUUGACGCUACCGCAGGACACGAUUCGUUAUGUUUCGUCGAUGCAUAUUCUGGCUACCAUCAAAUCAAGAUGGCAGAACCAGACCAAGCCGCAACGACAUUUAUCACACCAUACGGGCCAUUCUGCUUCUACAUGAUGCCCUUCGGGCUCAAAAACGCCGGUGCAACAUAUCAGUGCAUGAUUCAGACAUGUCUGGCAAGCCAGAUCGGCAAAACAGUGGAGGCAUAUGUAGAUGAUGUGGUCAUCAAAACAAGACAUGUUGAAUCUCUAGUAGACGACUUGAGGCUCACAUUUGAUAACCUCCGAACAUGCGACAUCAAGCUCAACCCGGAAAAAUGCGUUUUCGGCGUUCGAGCCGGAAAGCUCUUGGGCUUCAUUGCAUCCGGUAGAGGAAUUGAAGCAAAUCCAGCCAAGAUCCGAGCUCUGUCGCAACUGGAUAUCCCAAAGGACCUCAAACAAAUACAAAAGUUAACCGGAUGCGUGGCGGCUCUAAGCCGCUUUAUCUCCCGCUUGGGAGAAAAGGCCCUACCCCUUUACCGCCUCCUUCGGCGCACCGAACACUUCAAAUGGACGGAUGCAGCCACGACCGGACUUGACGAAAUAAAAGCCAUACUGGCAACAAACCCAGUCCUGGCCACGCCAAACAUUGGCGAACCAAUGCUAUUAUACAUUGCAGCAACACAUGAGGUUGUAAGCGCAGUGCUCGUCGUCGAACGAGAAGCGGACAGACACAAAUUCCCCCUUCAAAAGCCGGUCUAUUAUGUGUCCACUGUCCUCACUCCUUGCAAAUCACGGUACCCGCAUUAUUAAAAGAUUGCGUAUGCGGUAUUCAUGGCAUCCCGGAAGCUACGACACUACUUUCAAGAGUGUUGAAUAAUAGUAGCCUCGGAAGUACCACUUAACGAUAUUAUAAACAACCGUGACGCAACGGGCCGGAUUGCAAAAUGGACCAUUGAGCUCCUCCCGUUCGACAUAACUUAUAAGCCACGACGAGCCAUCAAGUCACAAGUCUCGGCCGACUUCGUCGCAGAAUGGACGGAGGCCGAACUUCCUAAAGAGUACGGCACAUAUUCAAAUUGGAUCAUGCAUUUCGACGGCUCCAAGAUGUUGGCCGAACUAGGGGCUGGCGUCGUUUUGAAGUCCCCCACAGGAGACACAGUUCAAUACGUACUACAGAUUAUGUACACGGACUCCAACAAUGCAGCCGAAUAUGAGGCCCUUUUACAUGGUCUCCGGAUGGCAGUAUCCAUGGGCAUCCAACACCUAGAGGUGCGCGGGGACUCGAACCUCGCAAUAUCCCAAAUAAAUGGAGACUUCGAUGCCAAGGAUCCAAAAAUGGCAGCUUACCGCAACGCCGUCCUAAAAAUGUCACAUCGGUUCGAGGGGCUUGAAUUUCACCAUAUAGCCCGGGAAAAUAAUCAGGCGGCAGAUGUCCUGGCACGCAUCGGCGCAAAACACGAUGUAGUCCUCCAACAUCUUCUUGGAAAGGCUGUUCAAGCCAUCCGUAGCAUGGGAAGGGGAGCCGAACAAUAACAGCCCAGACCCAACCGCACUGCCCGACACCGAACAUUCUGACACAAUCGGAGGCUCUGCCAAUGAAAUAACACCUUCAGCCCACAUAAUAAUGGCCGUUAUCGCCCCGUGGACAGAACCAUUCCUCGCCUACCUUACUAGGUAGGAACUCCCCGAGGACCAAAAUGAGGCAUGCUGCAUAGUGCCGCGAUCCAAAGCCUACAGAGUCCACGAGGGAGAGCUUUAUAAGAAAAGCACUACCGGAGUCCUUCAAAGGUGCAUCUCCGAAGAGGAGGGGCGGAACCUCCUGGCUGAAAUUCAUGCCGGACUUGGCGGUCAUCACGCUGCAGCCCGGUCCCUUGUAAGCAAGGCCUUCCGUACAGGCUUUUAUUGGCCGACGGCCCGGGCAGACGCUCAGGACUUAGUCCAACGAUGCAUCGGUUGCCAGCUCUUUGCAAACCAAAGCCAUAUGCCACCCACCGCCCUCCAAACUAUCCCCAUUACUUGGCCCUUUGCGGUCUGGGGGCUUGACAUGGUUGGACCCCUUAAAGGCGGAACCCACAAGCAAAAAUACUUACUGGUCAUGGUGGAUAAGUUCACCAAAUGGAUAGAAGCCAAGCCUGUUCAGACGGCCGAAUCCGGACCAGUGAUAGACUUUAUAUCCGGGGUUGUACACCGUUACGACGUCCCCCACAGCAUCAUCACUGAUAACGGCACGAACUUCACGGCCGACGAGGUAAAACUCUGGUGCAAAAACAUGGGCAUCAAGCUCGAUUAUGCUUCCGUCUAUCACCCACAAACUAAUGGCCAGGUUAAACGUGCAAAUGGUCUUAUCAUGAGAGGCAUCAAACCCAAAUUAGUGUGGUCCCUCAAGGAAUCUAACAUGCACUGGGUAGAGGAGCUCGACUCCGUACUCUGGGGGCUGCGGACCACGCCGAAUCGCACCACCGAAUACACACCAUUCUUUAUGGUGUAGGGCGCAGAGGCAGUUUUGCCUUGCGACAUAAUUCAUGACUCACCUCGAGUGCGCAUGUAUGAAGAAAGAGAAGCCGAGCUCGAUCGGCAAGACAGCUUGGACGCAUUGGAGGAGGAGCGUGACGUGGCAAAAGCCCAUUCCGCAUUCUAUCAACAACAGGCUCGAAGAUACCAAAGCAGAGAAGUACGUGCCAAAAAUUACAACGUUGGCGGAUUAGUUCUACGACUACCGGACAAGAAAAAGGACAAACUCAAGCCCAAGUGGGAAGGUCCCUUCAUAAUUGACCAAGUCCUGACUGGUGGAGCGUACCUCCUGCGGGAUGCAUUGGAUAACCGACUCGAGCCAAACCCAUGGAACGCAGCCCGUCUCCGAAGUUUUUAUGCCUAGCGUCGGACUCUGUGUUCGUCUCCUUCCUCUAUCCAUUUUUUUAUAUUUUCUGUCUUACAUUUCUCUUCUUCUCUCUCUCUCUCUCUCUCUCUCUCUCUCUCUCUCUCUCUCUCUCUUAUAGCCUCUAAAGGCUCAUAAAGUGGCGCGCUAUCCGCGCUCAUUAAACCUGGGGGCUUCUUUAAACAGAAGCUUAUUCAUGCGGGCUUCAUGCCCAACACAUGUGUCACACUUCCGCAUGUACCUUUUAUUCAGCAUUAUAUGCAUCGAUAUGACUUAAGUUUUGGCCAAGCUGGGUUGCCUGGCUCCUGUGCUUACCCCUACGUUCCCGAUUGUUCGGCUAGGUGGCAAAGGGAGCACCUCUGUGAUUGUUACUGCCGGGUCAGCCGGACGUGUACCUCAGACUGGGUGAAGCCGAAAGCUAGCGUUCUUAAGGGAAUAUUCGGUCGAUGAACUAAAGGUGAUCUUUUUUAUUUUUAUCUAUACGCCCCUAGAUGUUUCCUGCGUUUCUUUUCGCAGCAUGGACAUGCACCUUAGGGCAUGCCUCCCAGGGAAAGGAACUCCUAACGGAACUAUUCUCCCUGGAAGAUGUUUCUUACUAACCAUGUAAUAUAACAUACCUAGUCGGGCACUUGUCUGUUCACACCCUAAUGACCCCUACGUUUGGUCUCCAUGCAUUCGCCGGUUCCUAUAUAACCGCAUGGGAAUUUGGACACACUCCGGACCGUCAGGUCCCGAGGCUGAAGCGAAAAGGUCGGCCAUGACAAAUGAUCUACAAUCCGGCUAGAAGGCAUUAUAAAUGUCACUUAAAUUACAUAGUCAUUUUGACUGGUUGUAUUCCUCUUCAAUACCAUCUAACAGGCUGUCUAAUUUACAGUCCUGCUGGGAAUACUUUGCGGCCAACUCUACUUGGCCAUAUACUAAGCUUACAGGGAUCUCCUUCCCAUCGGGCCCUACAGGACCGACCUCGGCCAUGUGGUUGGGGUCAGCCUUUGCGUACCGCGUCUUCACCAUGGCCUAGGCCUCCCUAGCGCCUUGAUGGCAGGAUGAUAUCUUCCACAACCGGAAGCGCCGCCGUGCUCCCUUUAGCUUCUCCGCAAGCUCUCCAAGACCUUCGGGCAUGGAGACGGAUGGCCACAGGGCCUGGGCGACGCCUCGCAUCGCCUGCCAAACUCGAUCGAGCAGUUGCGAGAGCUCGGGAAGAAGGUCACCCGUAGAACCGGGCAUCUCCUUUGUAGGACGACCUAUUAGCACACCUACAGACAUUGCUCUGUUAGUCGACUUCCCCGCCAAACUUUCUUUCAAAAGGUUCGUUCAAGCACUUACUAAAUAUGCCGCGCCGAAGCUGCUGAUUCUCCUUCAUGGAGUCUGACAGCUGGGCACGAACAUCUUUCAGCUCCUUGGGAGAAACAAGCGUCGCGAAGAAUUGUCUGGCGACGCCUGUGGUUCAUGGCACUCUCCACCUCAGAGUUAGUGGCAGACAACCCGUCCACAUCCUCCGCCGGAGGAGCGUCUGGCGUGCGCCUUGCGUUCGCCUCUGCCUCCGAACCAGGCUUUGGAGCCUGGCUGGUGGAGGCGCGAUUGGCAGCCUCUCCGGAUAUAGUCCGACGAGGUCUCUUUGUCCUGAAAAGAGCGCAAGUGUCAAUAUGCCUCGAAUGUAUAACGCCUGCGAUAAGGGGGCGCGCCAUACGUUUGCGUUGACGCCUCCAUCCGGACUGCACUUCUUUUUUGCCCGCGGGGCCCUACGGCCCCUCGUUGGCUUGUCGCCGCAGGUUCGGCCUUCCGCCUUAAAAACCUCCCCUGCAAAGUUCGGUUGCAAUUAGGAAACUGAACACGAGUGGGCGGACACCUAUUCGGGGUACUAGGACUUCGAUCUCAGGUACCUGGGGCGUCAGGAGUAGCCCUGGGUAAUUGGCCGUAAUGGCCACCAAGGCGUUGUCCUUACUCAAUUGAUGGAACACUCCAUCAAUCAGGUCCACAGAUAUGUCCGGAUCCUCUUGAGAGGCUGGGUCGAGGGACCGUCCUGGGUCCUCGAGUUGUGGAGGAGGGCUGCUUAUUUCCUUAACAGCCCGGCGCAGUUCCUGCAUUAAAGUCGCCAGACUGAAUAUUUAACAAUGGGAAUACAAAACGGAUGGACAAGUAAAUAUGGCCGCUUACCCAGCUCGGGGGAUUGUGCAUGGAGAAUCCACCCCGAGGGUUGACGCGGAGAAAUUCGUCCUCUUCUCCCUUAUACAAAGUGGACAAGAUCUUUAGUAGAGCGGCAGCUGAAUCCGUCCCCUUGCGACCGUAGCGGUGGCGUCGUCCUCCCCGUUGAAGUCCCACAUGGGGUGGCUUCUAUACUGAAGCGGUUGCACCCCCACAUAAUGCAUUCGGCCAUAACCCCGAUCAUGGUUAGUCCGGAAUGGGCUAACAAUCUUAUUCGGCCCAUCAGGUAAAUGAUGUCCCUGUCACAUUCCCUCUGAGGGCUCCGUGGGCGCCAGCUUAGGCGCUUCUUUAAGGGAGCACUGUUGAAUUCAGGGAGGCCGAUUCGGACAGGAUCCGGCAGCGGGACGUCUUAUAUAUAAAACCAUUCCGAGGACCAGUCUUCGGACGCCUUCUUUGGGGUUCCGGACAGAUAUCCGGUCCCGGCGAUGCGCCACACUUCGGCUCCGCCCACUUGAUACAUUGACCCCUUCUUGGAACGGGGCACGAGGCAAAAUAGCUCCUUCCACAGUCCGAAAUGAGCUUCAACACCCAAGAAUAGCUCGCAGAGGGCUACAAAGCCCGCGAUAUGCAAUACUGAAGCAGGCGUGAGAUGAUGUAGCUGGAGGCCGUAGAACUCCAGCAGCCCCCGGAGAAAUGGAUGGAUUGGAAAUCCGAGCCCCCUUAUUAAGUAAGGGACGAGGCACACCCGCUCUCCUUUGGAGGGAUUAGGGGCAUUCUCUGCUUGCUCUCCACCGUUGUAGAUAGCAAGACCGGCUCGAAUCGGGAACAUAUAGGCCGGGGGGAGAAAUCCCUUGGUCUGAAGCGUCACUAGCUCGCUAUGCGGGAUGGAACAUCUCUCCCAAUAUCUAGGCUUAGGGCUGGAAGGCUAGGGGAGGAGUUGCGACGUCUGGCCAUGGUGGAAUGGACCUUUGUCGGAUGCGCUCUGAUGAACACUCGCGGAGGGGAGAAGGUGUGGAUUGGAUCUAAAUCCUCGUCCCCUUAAAUAGGGCAGCUCCUUUACGCGGCUAGGGGUGUGAAUGUAAAAACACUCAGACUUUUCAUAUUCGUUUGACACGUGGAAAGCGGCCAUUAUUGGGCGCAGAAGCCAAGGAGUGCAAACAUCUACAAGAAACCGGACUUUAUUCAACAGGUACACGGAAUUUGGAGGAGAACCCGCCUUGCAAUGCCGAAGACAAUAUGCGCGGCGGACUCAUCGUCAUUGAAGCCUGGUUCGGGGGAUACUGAGGGAGUCCUGGAUUAGGGGGUGUCCGGACAGCCGGGCUAUAUCCUUUGGCCGGACUGUUGGACUGUGAAGAUACAAGAUUGAAGACUCCGUCCCGUGUCUGGAAGGGACUUUCCUUAGCAUGGAAGGAAAGCUUGGCGAUACGGAUAUGAAGAUCUCCUACCAUUGUAACCGACUCUAUGUAACCCUAACCCUAUGUGGUGUCUAUAUAAACCGGAGGGUUUUAGUCCGUAGGCCAACGUACACAUCAACAACCAUACCAUAGGCUAGCUUCUAGGGUUUAGCCUCCUCGAUCUCGUGGUAGAUCUACUCUUGUACUACCCAUAUCAUCAAUAUUAAUCAAGUAGGACGUAGGGUUUUACCUCCAUCGAGAGGGCCCGAACCUGGGUAAAACUUCGUGUCCCUUGCCUCCUGUUACCAUCCGGCCUAGACGCACAGUUCCGGACCUCCUACCCGAGAUCCGCCGGUUUUGACACUGACAUUGGUGCUUUCAUUGAGAGUUCCUCUGUGAACACCAAACAGAGCAUCAGGGGCUACUGUCUAUGCGGUAACAUUUUUCCCAUAUUUUAAAUACUUACCUCAAAGCCUGUUAAAAGGCUGGCACAGGCUUCAGUCAGUCUGCUCUUGGCAGACUGAACCUUCUUGAUCACCGCACUCAUAAUAGUGUGGUGCUCUUCAUCGAUAGAAGCGCCGCGAAGCGCUCCCAGCAGAUUGUCCGGUGCCUCUGGAUGGACAGAGGUCACCGGCAUGGGCGUCUUGCCCCUUUGGGAAGGGAGCCGCCGUCCCGAGUCCGGAACCACUGGAGGUUCUGGCGCGGUGUUCGGCUUAGAGACGAACUUGGAGCCCCCGGGAGCCUUGCUCCCUUUGCUCCUGGAGUCUGGAAGGUCGCCUUGAGGCGCCUCCAUGAAAGCACAAGUGCUCCCUGGGUGGUUUUGGUAAUUAAUGUCAACAUAUCUCUUGUUGGACUAACACUUUUACCCAGUAUGUUUCAGAUAAGUUCAACAAUGGAGUGGCAUGGACUAGAGGAUGUGGAACCCAUUCAAGAUGCUAAGGACAAAGGAUUGGCUCAAGCUUCAAGAUCAAGACUCUACAUUUUCUAUUUUAGUGAUCCAAGAUCACAUUGAGUCUAUAGGAAAAGCCAAUACUAUCAAGAGGGGAUGAGGUGUUGCUUAAUGGCUUGCUUGCUCAAAGUGCUUAGUGAUAUGCUCCAAAACCCUCAACUACCUUCCCACAUCCACAUAUGACCUAAACCAAAAGUCAAACUUGGCCCCACCAAUUCUAUCUAUCCGGCGCCACCGAGUUUCAGAUGUCAUAGCCACUGCCACAAACCCUAGCAAAUCGGUUUCACCGAUAGGGAUCUCGGUCUCACCGAGAUGGGAUUGUAAUCUCUCUAUGUAUGUCCAUUACCAAAAUCGGUCUCACCGAGUUUGAGCAAUCGGUACUACCGAGAUUACAAUGCAAACCCUCUGGUUAGCUUAUUACCAAAAUCGGUCCCACCGAGUUUGUGUAAUCGGUCUCACCGAGUUUGCCUGACCAACUCUCUGGUUAGCAUAUUACCAAAAUCGGUCCCACCGAGUUUGUGUAAUCGGUCACACCGAGAUUACGUUAUUCCCUAACCCUAACCAUAUCGGUCCUAUCGAGUUGCAUCUCAGUCCCACCGAAAAUCCUAACAGUCACUAGGUUUGUUGAAUCGGUCCAACCGAGUUUAACCAUUCGGUCCCACCGAGUUUGGAAAAUUGUGUGUAACGGUUAGAUUUUGUGUGGAGGCUAUAUAUACCCCUCCACCCACUCUUCAUUCAUGGAGAGAGCCAUCAGAACAUACCUACACUUCCAAUACACAUUUUCUGAGAGAGAACCACCUACACUUGUGUUGAGGUCAAGAUAUUCCAUUCCAACCAUAUGAAUCUUGAUCUCUAGCCUUCCCCAAGUUGCUUUCCACUCAAAUCUUCUUUCCACCAAAUCCAAAUCCUGUGAGGGAGAGUUGAGUGUUGGGGAGACUAUCAUUUGAAGCACAAGAGCAAGGAGUUCAUCAUCAACACACCAUUUGUUACCUCUUGGAGAGUGGUGUCUCCUAGAUUGGCUAGGUGUCACUUGGGAGCCUCCAACAAGAUUGUGGAGUUGAACCAAGGAGUUUGUAAGGGCAAGGAGAUCACCUACUUUGUGAAGAUCUACCGCUAGUGAGGCAAGUCCUUCGUGGGCGACGGCCGUGAUGGAAUAGACAAGGUUGCUUCUUCGUGGACCCUUCGUGGGUGGAGCCCUCCGUGGACUCGCAUAACCGUUACCCUCCGUGGGUUGAAGUCUCCAUCAACGUGGAUGUACAAUAGCACCACCUAUCGGAACCACGACAAAAACAUUCGUGUCUCCAAUUGCGUUUGAAUACUCCAAACCCUUCUCUUUACAUUCUUGCAAGUUGCAUGCUUUACUUUCCGCUGCUCAUAUAUUCAUUGCAUGCUUGCUUGAUAUGUAUUGUGUUUGUUAAAUUUGUGCUUAAAGUCCACUUAAACUUAAGAAUAUAAAAAACUGCAACUUUUGGUACUUUGUGUCUUAUCACCCCCCUCUAGACACCUCUUUUUGAUCCUUUCAAUUGGUAUCAGAGCAUUGGUCUCCAUUGCCUUGGUUUAAACACCAUUGGAGGAAGAUGGAUGUGUCUACUUUGGGGAGUCUUAGACAUAGAGUGCCUAUUCUUGAUGGAGAGUAUUUUCAUGAGUGGAAAAAUGAAAUGCUUGAGAUUUUCAAUGAAUAUCAUUUGAACAAGUACAUUACUAGCCCUUGUGCACCUCAUGUUGAUCCUUUGCACCCUACCCUAGAUGAAGAUAUUGACAUGAUUCGCAAUCUUAGAACUGUUGAGCUCAUCAUUAGAGGCUUGCCUAGAAACUUGAUUAGAUGUUUGCCUACUCUCAAGUGUGCCUACACCAUAUGGAGAUUUCUUGAGGAAUGAUUUCUAGAUUAUUCCUUGAAAAAUUUGGACGAAAUUCUCCAUAAGUCUAUUGCCUUGAGUAAGAUGAACUCUAGUGAUCCUAUGUCGCGACCGGGUUUUCCGGGUAUAAAUUUCCAGAAAAAGACCGUCAUGCUCAUCAGCCCCAGGAUUACUGUUAGCUGAUGAGGCUCCAACUUGAUACAGAAAUUCCAAGAAAAAUACAAAAUAUGUAGUACAAGACCAUUCUGGCCUGUGAGUACAACAAAUGGUUUCUGGUGGUCGAUGGCGGAAGCGGUUUGUGAGUCAUCAGUGUCUAUGGGACUCCAUUUCCCACAGGAACAGCUGACCAGGUUAAGUCCUAUCUUCGCGAGGCUGCUAUCACCGUUGCUUAGGUCUCGAGGCUGUCAUCGCCACGCUCCUCUCCAAGUAGAAAUCUGGCCAAGACAAUAGCCAGGGACAAGCCAGUGAGUACUUUGAAUGUACUCGCAAACAUUAAGAACACUAGGAUAAUAUAAUUGAUAAUCAUGCACUGAAAAAUUUUAUGAUCACAUCGUCAGUCAUAAAUAAAACAUCUUUCAUGCAUGCAAGCAGGUUAUUUUCAUGCAACAUGAAUAAGCAGUAAUAGAGUGGGAAUAAAAUGCCGCAGUCGGGCGUCUGAGCGACACCACAUAAAGGGCUUUAAAAGAAAUGCCACAGUCGGGCGUCUGAGCGACACCACAUAAAGGGCUUUAAAAGAAAUGCCACAGUCGGGCGUCUGAGCGACACCACAUAAAGGGCUUCAAAAGAAAUGCCACAGUCGGGCGUCUGAGCGACACCACAUAAAGGGCUUUAAAAGAAAUUCCACAGUCGGGCGUCUGAGCGACACCACAUAAAGGGCUUAUAAGAUAAAUAAUCACAAUGAAUAUCCAGGAGGUAGAACCGUCCCAGGGAUACUCGAUAAUAUAAAUAAUGCAACGGGUUAGUCCAUCACAAAAUAAUAAUCAUGGUCCUCACAAGUAACUAGUCGGUAUCCAAGUUUGGUUUAACCAUAUCUCCUCCGAAGACCGACACUAAGACCAACACUUGACCCAUCCCAGACUGUAAUCCUUAACCAUGGACACGGCUAUUCGAAUAGGUUUAAUCUCUGCAGAGGGUGUACUCUUUACCCACGAGUAACGGAUUCCUUUAGUCCAUCGGGACUAAUUCCGUCUACGGCCUUUUAGUUGAAAACACGCCUAACUUGCACACACCAGCUUAACUCAUCGGUGUCUGGAAUCACCCACGACACUUGUUAAGAAAAACUCUAAGUGGGGAGGCUACAACCUCGCGUAGCAUGGGAUCAAAUUUAUAUCGCGCGCUCUAAGGGGUGGCCUCCCCUCUCGGUCCCAACCGAAAACACCCAUGCCCCUGGACCAGGUGGCCUGCCUACCGGCUACAAUCGAUAUCUUCCACCAUGGCCUCUCUGUACGGUGUGUGCUUGAAAGGGGUUGACGACUUACUGAACCGUACCCUACCUGCGGCAGGGACAAGUGGUAGUACGAGACAAGUAUGGGGGUUACUGGAACAAGACUCGGUCUACGGUCGACUCAGGAGGUUUAUAAAUUUCCUGCAUGACAUGUAUAACAAAUAUAUUUCCACCAACAAAAUCACCACUCAAUGUACCUUACCAUGCCAUACCGGACAUAACCGUCCCGACGGGGACCAGCGACAAGCUCACUCCUACCCAAGGCAGAGGCUUUCCCGGAUUCCUUUCCGGCAUGCAUGCAAGGCACAUGAGGGUGAUUACCAUCACAAGUAUAUUCAUUUCCAACAGCAAGGAAAUCACUAAUAUGCCUUCAUGCAAAUGAUCAUAUCACAUGAAAUAACAAGUUCUCCGAUAUAAGGUGGUGUUAUAAACGUGUCAACUAACACACCAAAAAUAUUAUUCCGGGGUUCAGAAUGCUUGCCUUCAUGGUGUGGAAAGGCAGGGUGUACUCCAAGACUUUUGAAAGCUUUCUUCUCUUCCAAAAUCUGGGGUGGAUUACGCCUUCACUUAACCCACGUGGAUAGGUAUAGGGUCACUGAUAGUGGGUCCAGGGGGCCCACUGGUUAGGUUUGACCAGUCGCCGCACCUCCUUCUUCCUCCUUUGUCCGAGCGGGGCGAGGUUCCGGCAUUGCUCGCCGGCGAACGGCGGCACCGUUCGAGAAACCGAAGCCAUCCACGGGCUCAGGGGGUCGAGGCGGUCCCGUCGGUGGUUGCUACGGUCUCGGGGGUGGACGGAGUCGUCGGCGGUGAGCUUCACGGCGGAAGGAGCUUCGGGAGCAAAGUGUGUUUGGGGCUAUGGUGGUUCCCGAUCAAAAUCGAGUAGGGGGAUGGGUUCACGGGAGGAAGAGAGAGUUACUGGUGAAGAGAACGGAGAGUGGGAGGCCCUGGUUGCGGUGAAUGGAGCUGGGACGUGGCGGUGGCCGAACCGGCCGGAGUUGGGGAAGACGGCUUUCCCCCGACGAUUGCUGGCUGUGGGGGUGCCAUGGGGGUGGCCUGAGGUUGUCUGCGUGCUUGAAUGAGUUCGAAGGCCUCCUUAUAUAGCGCGACGAGGUCGGUUUGCGGCGGCCGGAUAAGAACGACGGCGGACCGCCUUCCUGUAGUGGCAGGGUGUCGUGGCGGCGACGAGCGCUAGGGGACAUGCUUGCGGAUGAGCACGCACUGCUCCAGGAGGCAGGUGGCGAGCGGGGGAGGCUCGGCGGCGCCGACAUGAGCAGGGGGCUGUCGGGCGGCCGCGGCGGCUAGCUCUUGGCCUGCCGGGGUGUGGCGAGGGGCGGCUUGGCGUGAAGCGGUGAGGAGGGACGUGCGUGGCGUGGUUCUGCAGUGGGGGCAAGCUAGGGGCGCGACGCGUUGGCUCGGGCGCGGCACGUGCAAAACGCGUGCUCUGCUCGUGCUCCAGGCGUGCACGGGACGUGCUCGACGAAAUGCCAUGGCAUGCUGGGGGUUUCCAAACCGCAAGAGGGUUAGCAGGGUGGGGUUAUAGGCUAGGGAAACACCAUUGGACAGGCUGGUUUGGUCAGGGGAUCAAGUUCAUAAAGCAAACACAAACCCAUGUCAAAACUGAUCAUGCCCAUAAGGUGUUUGACAAAAUGCUAAGGGCACUUAGGCAGGUCUUGGAGUGGACAAAAACUCCAGAUGGUGGUCUCUUUAGAUGAAUAAGAGGGUGGUGAGGUUAGUUUGUGAAAAGCACAAACUUGUUAGUGCAGGUUUUGCAAAACUUCAAAUCUGGACAGGAUGUGAAUGGCAUUAUUUCCUGAACCAAAAAUAUGCCAAUGGGUGCAUGCUCCUGGAUUUAGGGGUUUGGUAGGGCUGUCUACAAGUAGGAGAAAGCACAAGAUCAUUGGAGCAAAAUUAUAUAGGGUUGUAGUAGAAAUCACAAGACUGGACCAGAAUGGAAAAGAGGUUGAUUCACUCAAAAUUUUCAAAGAAUAGCACUAGGUUUUUUGCAUAAAGUUGAAUCAUAUGCUACUACCAACAUCCCAUAAUUUUGGUGGAGGCCAGAAAGAAAUAUUUAAAAGGGUUGUAGUGCAAAAUUGCACUCUGGACUAGAGAAGAAAAAUUGAUGCAGAGCUCAACAUAUUACAUGAAUAAAAUAUAUUUUUGUAUAAAAGUGAUUCCAAAAUAUCACAUGACAACUCCAAUUUUUGGUUGGAAUUUUAGGUGAAUUUAUCAAAUGGUUGUAGUUCAAUUAUGGCCAUAUAACCUUGGAAAACCAUUUUUCAAGAAAAUAAAGAUCAAGCAAAUUAAUUAGGUAAUUAGCUAUACUGAUAAAAGAAAAGUUUUUCUUGAGAGGUUAAACAAGUCCAAUAACAUAUUUGAAAGGUUUUCACUUUAGGGAACAACUCAAUGAUAAUAAGAAAGGAAAUGUUUCAAAAAAAUUCAAAAGGGAGUCAAAAAAUCAAAGUUUUAAUUCCUCGCAAAAAUUUUAAUUUAUUAAAACAAGGCCAAAAUUUUUGGGUGUCACAUCCUAGCUAUGGUGAUUGUCUAUUUGAGCUUACCAAUCUCAUGCGUGCUAAAGGAAAUGUUGGAAUCAUUAGCGAUAUCAUAUCUGAAGCUAUUAGAAUUCAUAAAGGUAACCAUUGUGAUGAUCAUUUAUCUAAUGAAUUACCCUAUCUAGGAAUUGAUCAAUCACAAGAUGAUGUUGAACAUGGAUACUAUGAUGAAGAUGAUGAUAGUGACUAUGAUCUUGAUGAUGCAAUGAGGCAUUUUGGUCUUAUGGCAAAUCUUCGCGGCUACAUGGCAGGAGGAAAGGAAUGGGUCCUUGAUAGUGGAUGCACUGAUCAUAUGACCGGAGAUAAAGAUAUGUUCCGUGAGCUUGCUGAAAACGACGACCCUCGAAAAUAUGUCACUUUUGGUGAUAAUUCAAAGGGUAAGGUGGUUGGCCUUGGUAAGGUGGCCAUCUCACAUGAUAGCUCCAUACAAAAUGUCAUGCUCGUUGAAUCCCUUGGAUACAAUUUACUUUCAGUUUCUAGACUUGCAGAUUUCGGUUUCAAUGUCUUAUUCACUGAAGUAGAUUGCCAAGUGUUUCGUAGAGACAAUCAUAAAAUGGUCUUUACCGGUAUACAUAGAGGAGAUCUUUACAUUGUUGAUUUCACUAAAAAGGCUCAACCCAGAACUUGCUUAAUUACCAAAUCUUCUAAAGGCUGGUUGUGGCAUAGAAGACUAGGUCAUGUUGGUAUGCGAAAUCUUGAUAAGCUUAUUAAAGGUGAUCAUAUCCUUGGAAUAAAAGAUGUCAUAUUUGACAAGGAUAGACUUUGUAGUGCUUGUCAAGCAGGGAAACAAGUUGGAGGAAGUCACCGCGCGAAGAACAUCAUGACCACAAGAAGACCACUCGAGCUACUUCACAUGGAUCUCUUUGGUCCAAAUGCCUACAAGAGUCUCGGUGGUAACUCAUUUGGUCUAGUCAUAGUUGAUGAUUUUUCAAGAUUUACGUGGGUGUUCUUUCUUGAUGACAAAUCGCAGGUCCAAAAGAUCUUCAAAAACUUCGCUAGGAAGGCCCAAAAUUAGUUUGACGUGAAGAUCAAGAAGGUUCGGAGCAACAACGGAACGGAGUUCAAGAACGCAAAUGUGGACACCUUUCUUGACGAAGAAGGGAUUUCACACGAGUUCUCGGCUACGUACACACCUCAAAAAAAUGGAGUUGUUGAAAGGAAGAACCGGACUCUUAUCGAGAUGGCAAGAAUGAUGCUUGAUGAGUACAAAACGCCAAAGCACUUUUGGGCGGAAGCGGUUGAGACAGCUUGUCAUGCAACAAAUCGCUUGUAUCUUCACAAGCUACUCGGCAAGACGACAUACGAGCUCCUCACCGGUAACAAACCCCAAGUUGGAUACUUUCGAGUAUUCGGCUCAAAGUGCUACAUUCUUGAUAAGCAUCGUCGUUCUAAAUUUGCUCCUAAAUCUCAUGAAGGUUUCCUACUUGGUUAUGGCUCAAACUCUCACACUUACCGUGUCUACAACAAUUUCACCCGAAAGGUUUAAGAGACGGUAGAUGUGAAGUUUGAUGAAUCUAACGGCUCGCAAGUAGAGCAAUUGCCAAUUGAUGUAGGAGACAAAGACCCUUCAGAAGCAAUUCAAGACUUGUCCAUUGGCAAGAUUCGUCCAACGGAAGUAAAGGAGAGUACCUCGUCCGUCCAAGUGGAAGCUUCUACCUCACAACAAGGUGAACCAAGAGUUGAUAUGGAAGCAUCAACAAGUGGGACAUGCCAAGAUGAAGAAAACGAGGAAGCGCACCAAGAUGAACAUCAACAACCUCCUUCUCCACCACGACAAGAGAACGACAACGUCAACAAUGAAGAAGGCCAAGAAGAAGCACAAGAUGAAGAGGAUGUUCCACCCCGACCCAAGAAAAAGCUUUCAUGAGUUCGAGCAAGAAUUGAUAAGGAUCAUCCCGUCGAGCAAAUCUACAACGAUAUCCAAACUGGGAGAAUCACUCGCUCUAAAACUCAUUCAGCUAACUUUUAUGAACAUUACUCAUUCAUCUCUAGCAUUGAACCGAUGAAGGUUGAAGAAGCAUUGGAGGAUCCAGACUGGAUAAACGCUAUGCAUGGAGAGCUACACAACUUUGAGAGAAAUCAAGUGUGGACAUUGGUCGAGAAGCCCGACAACAACCACAACAUCAUUGGUACCAAAUGGGUGUUUCGCAACAAGCAAGAUGAAGAUGGACAAGUGGUUCGCAACAAAGCACGCCUCGUCGCCCAAGGCUACACACAAGUUGAAGGUAUGGACUAUGAUGAGACAUAUGCUCCCGUUGCUAGACUUGAGUCCAUUCGCAUCUUACUUGCUUAUGCUAAUCACCAUGAUAUCACCUUGUACCAAAUGGACAUUAAAAGUGCUUUUCUAAAUGGCAAAAUUGAGGAGGAAGUUUAUGUUAAGCAACCUCCCGACUUCGUCAAUCCUAAGAAACCUAAUCAUGUUUACAAACUUCACAAAGCCCUUUAUGGUCUUAAACAAGCUCCUAGAGCAUGGUAUAAAUGCUUGACCAAGUUCCUUAUUGAAAAAGGCUUUGAAAUUGGUAAAAUUGAUUCUACUCUUUUUACUAAAAGGGUUAAUGGAGAACUAUUUGUGUGCCAAAUUUAUGUUGAUGAUAUCAUAUUUGGUUCAACUAACCCUCAUUAGUGAGAAGUUUGGAAAGCUAAUGUCGGAGAAGUUUGAGAUGUCUAUGAUGAGUGAACUCAAAUUCUUUCUCGGUUUGCAAAUCAAGCAAACUAAGGAAGGUACCUUUGUCUCUCAAACAAAGUACACCAAGGACUUACUCAAGAAGUUCAAUAUGCAAGAAUGCAAAGGUAUGACUACACCCAUGCCUACUAGUGGACAUCUUGAUUUGACCAAAGAUGGUGAACCGGUUGAUUAAAAGGUUUACCGCUCUAUGAUUGGUUCAUUGUUAUAUCUAUGUGCCUCUCGUCCCGAUAUUAUGCUAAGUGUGUGCAUAUGUGCACGAUAUCAAGCUGCUCCUAAAGAGUGUCAUCUUAAGGCUGUGAAAAGGAUAGUGAGAUACCUAAUCCAUACACCAAAUUUUGGCAUUUGGUAUCCUAAGAGGUCCUCUUUUGAUCUUGUUGGCUACUCCGAUUCAGACUAUGCCGGAGACAAGGUUGAUAAAAAAUCCACUUCGGGUACUUGUCAAUUCCUUGGUAGAUCUCUUGUGUCUUGGUCUUCCAAGAAACAAAACUCGAUAUCCUUAUCCACCGCCGAAGCGGAAUACAUUGCGGCUGGUUCAUGUUGUGCUCAAUUACUUUGGAUGACCCAAACUCUUAAAGAUUAUGGGAUAUAUGUGAAACAUGUUCCAUUGCUAUGUGACAAUGAAAGUGCUGUUAAGAUUGCUCACAAUCCCGUGCAACAUUCUCGAACUAAGCAUAUUGAAGUUCGUCAUCAUUUCAUUCGAGAUCAUGUUGCAAAAGGGGACAUUAACCUGAAGCAUGUUCACACCGAUAAGCAACUGGCGGAUAUAUUCACUAAACCACUUGAUGAGAAAGUGUUUUGCAGGUUGAGAGGUGAAUUGAACAUCAUUGAUGCUUCAAACUUGGAGUAGGAACUCCAUUUGAUACAUGCGGGGCAUGAGCCUAUGACUAAUCCCCGAUAUUUAUCUUAUGAUGCUAUUCAUAUGUCUUGGAUAUAUUUGUACCUUGCAUGUUAUCUAACCCGUGUAGGUACUUGGUUGAAUCUAAAUCUAUGAGAUUGCAACUCACUCACAUCUUGAGCAAUCUCUACAUCACCAAGUCUCUACACAAUGGUGGUUGAAGACAAGGAAGCACAAAACCAUUCAAACAUAUCCUUUGGCAAAUUCUAUGUUGAGUCUCAUGAUUGUCAUUUUGGAUACACAAGUGCUCUUCCUUGCAAAUAUAACCCAUGUAGGUAGAUGAACUCAAACUCCAAGUGGUGCUCCCAACCCUUGAUGAACUACAUCAACCUUGAGCAACCCACACAAGUUCAACUACAUGAGCAAGAUCAACACCACCAC
RNAcentral lists this long non-coding RNA (89495 nucleotides) under Triticum aestivum (bread wheat). RNAcentral describes it as "long non-coding RNA (TAES_LNC005075)". The record is from RNAcentral. Lineage: Eukaryota; Viridiplantae; Streptophyta; Magnoliopsida; Poales; Poaceae.